CUAUAUAUCGUAGGCCUUCCUAUGGGUUAACGUAACCAAUGGUUCAGUUUCAUUUACUUUUCAAAACAACCUGUGAAUGGUGUUGUGGUUGUAACUUGGCUCUGAUACAACUUUAAUCUGUCACGCCCUGGGGUCCCUUUUAAUUUGAAACACAGCGGAAAAGCGUCUAAAUUUUUUUUUGAAAAUCUGACCCCAGGGUAUGCCAGAUCCGCCACAAAUACAGAAAAUCCACUGUUCACACAGACAGAGUCUCCCCUGUAUUUGCACGGCAUCACACAAGUACAACAAGUAAACCGAAUACAACCACAACUACAUAAAUAUAGAGAUAACUAUACAUUCAUACAUUCACCAUUUACAUCACAGAUUUACAUUCAAUGUCUAAACAUAAAUCCACAGAAAACCUUUUGAAAAUUGUUCCCUACUCGAAAACUUUUAUCUUUUAAAAACGCUAUCACGAGGGGUAGAAAACCAUUUUUUCUUUUCACAAAAUCCACGAUUUCUAUAGUUCAUUCAAAACCACAUGAAUUCGAAUAACAUAAACCAACUGAACCAUGUAAUAUCAAAGCUAUUAAUAACAAAAGUAAAUAGGGUAGGAACUAAACCGACAAACUGGGUCGGAAGCUCUAGCGACCACUAUGAACGUGUCUCACGUCUCGUCUCAACUCUCACCGCCGGCGAUACCUGAAAAUGGUGGGGGAGGUGAGAACAUGUAAACAUGUCUCCCCUCCCAGUGGGUACCGCAAGCCGAUNCGACAAACUGGGUCGGAAGCUCUAGCGACCACUAUGAACGUGUCUCACGUCUCGUCUCAACUCUCACCGCCGGCGAUACCUGAAAAUGGUGGGGGAGGUGAGAACAUGUAAACAUGUCUCCCCUCCCAGUGGGUACCGCAAGCCGAUGAAGGCAAGGAGUACUCACCGGAUCAGGAAGAGCUAAACAACAAUACGGGUCAGUGGAAAUGCAGUAGCAGUAAUAAUGAACGAAAGAGAUACAUUUAUAUAAGAAAGUACAACUACCGAUACUGUAAUGAACAACUGAAAGUAUACAUGCAACAAAAAUAUAGUAGCAAGACAAGUGUAAAGAAAGAAAUGAAGGUAUACAAGCAACAACCUCUACUAUAGCUAUAUGCGUCAACCGAACAAGAAGUCCAAAUAUUCCCAAUCUGGUACCUGCUAUAUUGGUCCGCAGACCUCAAGCGCUGCCUGUCACUAACCUGCACCGACCUGAUUCACCCGCCCCACAGGACGACCCAUCCGGAUAAGCACACCUUCGGUCGGUGGCCAAACCGACCCGGUGUCAUGAAUACCCCCAAGUGCUGUGACUAAGUCAUGCUGGUAUGCUCAAACAAAAACCGACUGAAGCCGGUGCCUAGGCCGAAGCCAGAAAUAAGGGCGUACAACGCCGAACCACGAUCAACCAGAUCGAAACACAUGACAAGAGAGUCGAUGUGUUGCCUGGACCCAAGAUCCACAGAGUCCAACCGACCAGCAAGGUCACUGAUACGAAGUACGAGAACCGACCAACGAGGUCAACAGAUACGGAAUGCAACAACAGACUAACCAGGUCAACAGAUAUGCAUAUAGAUAGAACUACUCUACUCCUACUCAGGAUACUAAGCAUGCAAACAAUGAGCAGAGUAUAAUGGAAUAACAUGGGUGCAAGGCCCAAUAUAUACUAUGCAAUAGUAACAACAACAGAGUAAGGGUAAGAAACCAUCACCGAGCGUGCACCACUGUACCGACGUCGGAUCGAAGUACCCACCUGUAAGGAUGUCGCGCAUGUCUCCUGUCUGCGAAAGAAUGUCAACCGGACCUAAGGAAGGUCCACCGGGUUAGUGUCUAACCCACAGCUAAGAAACCGUAAAAGCAUAACCCACAAACAAACCCACGGAGAUCGGUUUUCCCAAAACCAACUACCGUAACUCGCCGGAAGUCCCGAAAAUCGCACUGGGACUCCGCCGGGACCCACGAACUGUCCCGAAACACACCGACUCGAGCUACGAGUCACCCGCUGCCAUGAAUCAUAAUUAAUCAUGCAUUAUGGUAGCAAACACAACUCCUCACGUCGAAACAAUUAUCGUCGGAUAAUCGUUUCGAUCCGGGUUCCCGGAAGUGUCCAAUUUGACACCGGAACUCCCCGUCGCUCACCCGUCAUUUUUGAACCCUCGAAAUGAUGCGAGUGACCAGUCAACAAGGCCCAGCGACUAAACAAUCCAUCACGAAGCACCGUCGGAAUAAUUCCGAACCGAACCCGCGUUCCAUCGGCGAAUUUCGCCGAGAAACGCUCCGAAAAUCACUUUCUGAUUUUCAACAAGGCUUGAGGCCUUAGACAAUCAGUCUAUAGGUUAUCCUCAGCCCAUACUUGCUGCCAACAGCAGCCACGACGAACAAAAAGCAUAAAAGCCCUCCCGAUUGCAAGAAAUCCCAUUAUUUUAGGUGAUUUCUAAGCUUUUAUGGUCCAACCGAGCAAUCCGUUAACUCUUUUGCCAAACCGAAACACCUGCUGAUAGGUCUCGAUAUGCCGGAGGCCGUGCUCACCUUUCAGAGCAGUUCCGUCCACUGUGGGAAGCGCCACAAGCGACGCGACAAUCAGCGAAGCAGCGCGCACAGCGAAAAUAAUGCUUCUAACGCGCAAACCGGGGCACCGUUGACCCCAACGAAGGUAAGCAUGAUGUUCAGAACGAAAUAACGAUGAUUGUGCUCCUUCCCACAGUCAUCGGGGUGCCUUUGGAUUGCCGGAAAGAUGACCGAAACCCCAAACUACAGUGCUGGAACUUAAAACAAUAGCAUACCGGAGCAGUGGGAGCUAGGGUUGGUCUCCGGCGGCCGGACGCCGAGCGCUCCGGCCGAGAAUGGAAGCGGCCGGUCCGAGAGGUCCGAGGUAGGUGCUGGCCGACGGCGGGCAGCAGCCGGUGGCGCGGCGGAGGAGAUCAAGCCCGCCAACUGCUCUCGGGUUCAAGGCUUCCCGGCGACGCGGCGGCGGCCGGAGGAGGUCGGGGCGACGUCGAUCCGUCGCCGGAGGCCGAGGGGAUCGUGAUGCACCCCUCCGUGGGCGGCGGCGUCAUGCGGUGGCCGAGGUGGCUCGGCCUCGACCCGCACAAGCUCUGGGCGGCCGCAGAGUGGAAGAGCGGCGGCCAGCGGCUUCGGGGACGUCCGGGGAUGCACGCCGGAGGUCGCCGGAGGUGUCUGGAGGGCGGCACUGCCGGCGGGGAGCGGCGACGGCGAGCGGAAACAGAGAUCAAACCACCCUGGCCGGAUCUAUCCCGAACUUGGCCGAAACUUGCCAGGGCGGCGUCGGCGGCGCACGGGGACGGUGGGGGCCGGCGGGAACGGCGCCAGAGGCCGGUCUCGGCCAGGGGGUGGAGGCCCGACUCGUAUGGGUGAUUCUACACAGGUGGUGGCUUCCCCAGCGCCAAUGCCUAGGAAGGUGGUGGACAGGUUGAGAGAGAAGGAUGUAGGGUGGCCGGGUUCCAAAUUUUCCGGCAGCCGGGACACCCACCGGCGGCCGGGAUGCGCGCAUGGGUUGGGCAGAGGUGCAGAGGUGUCGGCUAGGGUUAGUUCGGCUAAGGGGAAGGCCAAAAGCUAGGGUUUUCCUCGUGAAAGCCUAGUGCAACUACUAUAUACAUAUGUACAUUUUGCAAGAUAGUUCCUCCUAGGGAUAAUAUUCUCAGCCCAGUCCCUCACAGUGCGCGUAUUUUACACAUACGCACUUCCACGUCCGAUCUCACGCGAUUCGGCACAUGAAAUAUGAGGGUUUCGCGCGAAAUACCAAAAAUGCCGCUUUGACCUCUUAGCGAAAACUUUGUAAUUGCCGGAGAUCCGUCCGUCGGAUUUUCGAUCCGACUGGACUAUCGCGUUCAGCACGUCGGGGGCAUCAAAACGUCAAUCUUGUUUCAUUAGGUUUGGUCGCUGAUUUGCAACAAACCCAUCCCCUCUCCAACUAUUCCAUAUAUUACACACAUAAACCUAUGCGUAAACCCAAAAACCGUAAAUUCAAAUCCGAAUAUGGACUCCCUACCUCCAGUAGAUACUAGAAACAUCUCUCACCCAACCCCAAGUCACAGGCACAAAGCACGAGGAGCUUUAUAAUGCAAGGAUAGCAAAGAGCGAAAACCUUCUUUUUGAUAAAACUCCUUUUUUCUCAAAAAUCGUGCAUUAGAUCUGAAAUCCGUCAGUGCCAUUGGGUUCAGAAUAGUCGAGCCAUUCGAAAUGAGCUAUUGGAGUCCUAUGUUUGGAGUCCAAUACGCACCAGAAGCCAACUCUACUCUGUGGCUUUUCCGAAAAACCAAAGUUACUAUUCACUUAAGUGAAUACUAUUAAUCGCGUAACUUCUCCAUUCUAACUUGGUUUCUCCUGAAACUUGACGAGUGCUUUUGUAAUUAAAUUACGCAUAAAAACAUCGUCAACGGAGAGUUUAGCUGCAUUGGCAAAAUCUCAGUCCUUACAAAAUUCCCUUCAUUAUAGGUGAUUUUUAAUAAUAUACUAAAAGAUAUUAAUUUUUUGCCUUCUCAAUUCCUUCUCACGCGUAAAUUAUAUUAAUUAUAUUUAAUUGGUAUAAUAAAAGUUAAUAAUAAUAUAUUAAUUUUAUUUCCUAAUUAAUAAAAAUAUAGAGUAAUAAUAGUUAUUAGUAUUGAUACCCUAAUUAUAAUUAUAGGUGACUUUGAAAUAAAAUCUCAUUCAUUAUAGGUGAUUUUUAAUAAUAUAGUAAAAGAUAUUAUUUCCUUAAAAAAUCUAAUUUUAUUUUUUCUAAAGUAGAAAAUCUAUAUUUGAGCUUGUAAUAAUUUAUUUCCAAAUAAAGAUAAAUAUUUUCCUUCUCACGCGUAAUAUCCGCACCCGCCAAUUCUUUCGCAACGUAAUAUCCGUAAAUUUCUCAAAUAUCUCAACAUAAUUAUAGGUGACUUUAAAAUAAAAUCCCCUUCAUUAUAGGUGAUUUUUAAUAGCAUUAUAAAAGAUAUUAAUUUUUUGCCAUUAGAUCUUAUCUAAUGAUUGAAAAUAAAAGUAUCUGUUACUUUUUGUGAUAAUAUUACCCUCUCAUUUAUAUCAUAUUUUCUAUCUACGCGUUUUUCAAAUAUUUUUCUUCUCACGCGUAAUAUCCACACCCGCCAAUUCUUUCGCAACGUAAUAUCCGUGAAUUUCUCAAAUAUCUCAUUAAUCCACCUACCAUUUGAAUUUAAUAAUAUAGUAAAAAUCUAUAUUUGAGCUUGACACGUGGCAAGUAUAUAGAAAGCCACGUGUCAGCUCCUCACAUAGGGUUCAUAAAGGGUUCUACUUUAGUAUAUCGUAAUAGAUUCUACCUUGAUGAUAAUAGAAAAAUAUUAUUCGUCUUUUUUAAUACUGUGAUGAGCUUUUAUUUUAUUUUAAACUAAUUCAUUCAUUUUACUUGUUAGAUUGAAAUAUUUUUAGAAAGAAAUAUACUAUAAUUUUAUUUUUUAAUUUCAUUCUUUUUUUUUUAAUUAUUUGAUACUGAGAUAAAUAAUAUUGAAAAAUAUUAAUGGAUAGUAAGAAAAAAAAAGUGAUGUUAAUAGUUAUACUAAUUUACUAUUGUAUUGUCUUUCCGCUGAAUCGCGCGGGCCCUUAACUAGUUUAAUAGUAAUUGGUAACUCAGAGCGACAACAAGUACUAAUAAUAAUAAUAUUUAAUUGUAGUUAGUAUUAAUAUUUUAUUAAAGUAUAAUUUACACAGGUAUGAAAUUAUUUUGACCUAACUCAAAUAAAUUUUAAGUUGAAAAUGAGCUGAAUUAUCCUAGCUCGUUUUAAUUUUGAGCCAAGCAGAAACUAACACGAAUUAUUUUCAAGCUGAUCUCAAGUUUGUCCCAACUGGCUCAUGUUUGGCUUGCUGAUAACUCUAGCCAUAUCCGGUUAAGAACUAAGAACUAAUAAUUCAUGUAGUUGUAUAGAUUCAAAAAUUAAGGUAAAUAACACCUUCGGUCCUCAAACUAUUAGGGUGCAUGACAUUUGGUCCUCAAUAUUUAAUUUUUUGUAAUUUCUGACUUUAACUUUUUAAAUUAUUAUAAUCAAGUCCCACAAUCAAAUUUAGAAGUAAUGGAAAUAUAUUAUAACUAGUGAUGAAAUAAUAAUUAAGAUGAUGCAUUAGCUGUAAUGGUUUACCUCCCAUCUUAUUAUUAUAACCAUUUAGGUACCGUUUGGUUCGGGUAUAAGCAAGAACUAGCUAUUACAGGGAUAGGUACAAGUAUGGGGAUAAGAAAAAUAGUGUUUUGAUGAAAAUUGGGUUGUUCCCGGGGAUAAGAACAAUUUUAGGUAGUUUUAUAUAGAAAAUGGAGGUGUUGGUGGGGACAACCGAGAACUACUAUUCUCGGGUAAAAAAUUAGCGUUUGGGUAUAAAGGGGGGGAUAAGGGCCUAUUCCAAUCUCUAUUGCUCAGUGUUGGUUGCCGAUCAUCCCGACCUUUGACCCGGUCAAAGAUCCUCCUCGGGGAGCGCGUCGGGGUAAGGAACAGCUGUGGAUAGUGACCCUCGAAGUUUGCGCCCUUCGACUGGAUCAAGCGAUUCGGCUGACGAGGGAUCGAGCCAGUCGGAUUCCAAAACCUUUACUGUAGAAUCGGAUCGGUUGAAUGAGCCGAAUGUAUGAACUGUGCAGGGAUCAAUGUCGGCAGAAGAGCCGAAUGGAAGAAGUACAGAGUAACUGGUCGGCUGAAAAAGCCGAAUACCUAUAUAUAUAUAUAUAUAUAUAUAUAUAUAUUAAUAAAACAGAGUGUGCCCGAAGGGUAUACAGACUCCGCAAAUAUGUAGUUUACAACAGAGUGAUGCCCGUGGGGCAGACAGAUUCCAGGGUUCUACUUAAAAGCUACUCCUAGGAAAGCAAUAAAUGUGAAAAAGAAAAAAAUACAUUUAGACUACUCCUAGAAAGCAAUAAAUGCAGGAAAGGAAAGAUAUGAAAAUGCGGUGGUCUUCUCGUUCAGGGGAGAGAAAGACCCUUAUUACAGGCUUUGAAGUUACUAUUUACAGUAAUGUCUUCUCACCCCACAUUAUUGGUCGGUUGAAAGUAGUGGGGGGAGUGGUUGUAACCAUGAUCGUGGAAGUUACGCCCAUUCCUCAUGGAAGUUGCGUUCCAUCGUGGAAGUUAUGCCCACUUCUCAACUAUUCCCGCCUAAAACCUUUAGGCGCCUUAUUGCCGACUCCUGGUGUACCACGUGUCCUUAUUGGCUCAUACGUGGAUUAGGUCGGCAUGUUAAUUUCAAUUUUGGCAUCAACAAUGCCCCCCCAAUAGUCUUUCGAAUGAGCAUUCGGAUGACUAUUAGUGCCAAAUCGACUUCUCAAAUGACACAGCCGAGACUCAAGCUUUUGUUUCGCUGGUCUUGGUUGGCUUAAAGAAAACGGCUCUUUAUCGUCCCAGCCGUAUAUACCUCGGCUUCAUCAGCCGAUUCUUUACUCUUACUUGAUUGGUUCGGCUCUUCUUGAACCGAAUGUUCUUCUAUCAAGAAUUUCUCCUUAAAGAAAAUGGCUCUUUACCAACGGUAUAUACCUCGGCUUCAUCAGCCGAUUUUUCACUUUCACUCGAUUGGCUCAGCUCUUCUUGAACCGACUAUUCUUCUAUCAAGGAUUUCUCUUUGCCUUUGCUUUGCAUUUUAUAUCGGCUCUAUUGCAGCCGAUUGUCCUCACUUUCCUUCUGAAAUUGCUCAUAUUGGGCAACUCGAACACCUUGAUCAAAUAGGUUAGAAAAAUACUUAUCUUCAAAAUGGUCUUUUAUCUUAAAAUGCAGACCAUUUAAUGCCAUUUUGGCGAACUCUGAUUCUGGCAAUCUCAUAAAGCACCGGGUUUUGGCUAUUUUGAUACGGUUCAAAUACUCUUCGACCAUUUCACCCGACAUUUGUCGGUAUAAAGCCAAGUCGGCGACCGAUAAUUGUGGCUCCGACCUAUAGAAUCGCUCAUGAAAUUUUCUUUCUAAUUCGUCCCAAUUUUGGACGGAAUUGGCUAAUAAACUAAUAUACCAAGUAAACGCCAUUUUAGUUAACGACGUGUCAAACAAUCUUAAUUUUAAAAAUGGAUCUGUCGCGGCUUCCCUGCACUGUGCCGUGAACCGUGCCACAUGUUCGACCGUGUUUUCGGUCUCAUCCCCAGAAAAUUUAUCAAACUUCGGCAUUUUCCAGUUUGCCGGGUAUGGAUGCUCUGUGCCUAUAUUUGCAGGUUAAGGUGAUCUAAAUAUAAGCCGCAUUGCCGGCCUUGCGCCUACUCCAAAAGUAUUUCAGAUGGCUUCUUCGAUUUGCGCAUAUAUUUCAUUAUUGUUUCCCUGCAAAGGAACUUGUGCUUGUGCUGCAUUCGGUCCUUGUAAUGGUCCGAAGUUUUGUACUAUAGGAUUUGCUUCUUGAAUAUUUGGAGCCUACCCCCUAGCUCUAGCCCCUAUAUUUUGGGGCUGGUAUGUUGCCAUCGACGGAGGUGGUGGCAAUUCCCAUGUAAUUUCCGGCUGUUAACCGGUAUUAACGACGGCCGGUCUGUAAGCCGCUUGGAAUGGUGCCCCCUGGUAUUGGGGCUGUCCAUUUACCGGUAUUGCAGGAUUUUGCAAUACUGGUGUCAUCAUAGGCCUUUGUAAGCCUGUCAUUGGUUGCUCAUUUCGAGUCAAUAAUUGCCCUAUUCGUGCAAUAUUUUCAUUAUAGGCCGUGAUGACGGCCAGCACCGCAUCUAGUCGAGCGGUACUUUGAUGGAUAUUUUGAUCUAAAGUUUGCAAAACUCGGCUCAUCUGGCCGAGCGCCUGAGUUAGAUUCGACUCUUGAUGAGCCGACUGUCCACUAGUUUCUCCUUCAACUGGCAAAACUGCUUGACAUUCGCUAGCAUUGUCUGAAUCACUAGGUUGAUCACUCCCAGAAUUUCUAAGAACAACCCUAUUGCGCAAAUUCAUGGCAUUAUCAUCAGCCAUAAUUUCAAUAAGAAUGUGAAUUUACCUAAAAUCGAGUCCCAUCGGGCGUGCCAAAAAUUGUUGGUUGCCGAUCAUCCCGACCCUUGACCCGGUCAAAGAUCCUCCUUGGGGAGCGCGUCGGGGUGAGGAACAGCUACGGAUAAUGACCCUCGAAGUUUGCGCUCUUCGACUGGAUCAAGCGAUUCGGCUGACAAGGGAUCGAGCCAGCCGGAUUCGAAAACCUUUACUAUAAAAUCGGUUCGGCUGGAUGAGCCGAAUGUAUGAACUGUGCAGGGAUCAAUGUCCGCAGAAGAGCCGAAUGGAAGAAAUACACAGUAACUGGUCGGCUGAAAAAGCCGAAUACCUAUAUAUAUAUAUAUAUAUAUAUAUUAAUAAAACAGAGUGUGCUCGAAGGGCAUACAGACUCUGCAAAUAUGUAGUUUAUAACAGAGUGAUGCCCGUGGGGUAAAUAGACUCCAGGGUUCUACUUAAAAGCUACUCCUAGGAAAGCAGUAAAUGUGAAAAAGAAAAUAUUACAUUUAGACUACUCCUAGAAAGCAAUAAAUACAGGAAAGGAAAGAUAUGAAAAUGCGGUGGUCUUCUCGUUCAGGGGAGAGAAAGACCCUUAUUACAGGCUUUGAAGUUACUAUUUAUAGUAAUGUUUUCUCAGCCCACAUUAUUGGUCGGUUGAAAGUAGUGGGGGGAGUAGUUGUAACCAUGAUCGUGGAAGUUACGCCCAUUCCUCAUGGAAGUUACGCUCCAUCGUGGAAGUUAUGCCCACUUCUCAACCGUUCCCGCCUAAAACUUUCAGGCGCCUUAUUGCCAACUCCUGGUGUACCACGUGCCCUUAUUGGCUCAUACGUGGAUUAGGUCGGCAUGUUAAUUUCAAUUUUGGCAUCAACACUCAGUUCCAUAUUUGAUAAUAAUUAGCACCGUGAGUUCUAUUUAUUUUAACAUUUGUUUUAAUAAAUUGGUCGAUGAACAUCUUUUUUUCUUUUUUUUUUUUACUUUCUUUUCCGUAGCAUUUUAGUUUAUUGCCAUUAAUUGAUAUUGAUGCUGCUAUCUAUAAAGUUUCUAAUUGGAAAGUGAUAUAUUACUACGUGAGUCAAAAUUAACAAAUCGGUCAAAUUAACAGAUGCUAAGAUAAUUAUUUAGAUAAAAUACAUUUUGCAAUAUAUAUUGAGCUUAUUAUCUAUCUAUAUAAAAUAUAACUAGUAAAAUGUACGUGUAAAUGCACGUAAUAAUUAUUAGAAAAAGUUAUAAUUUUUUAAAAUUAUUUUUUAAUUUUAGGCCAUAUUUUAUAUGAUUGCCAAAUAUGUAUCUAAAAAAUUUAAAAUAAUAAAUCACACUAUUAAGAAAGAUAAAAUCCGUUAUCUUAAAAAGAAAAUAUAUUUUUGAAAUUACUUUUGAAAUUAAAUAGAAAAAUACUUUUGAAAUGCAAAAAUUACUCUUGAAAUUAAAUAGAAAAAUAAAAUCUGUUAGGAAAUAAAUUUUUGAAAUUAAAUAGAAAAAUAAAAUCCGUUAUCUUAAAAAGAAAAUAUAUUUUGAAAUUAAAUAGAUAAUAUCUAAAAAAGAUAUUAUAAAAUAAAAUAGAAAAAUAUCUUUUAUAGGAUUAUCACACCCGUAAUCUGUUAUAGAAAACUUACUUUUGAAAUUAAAUAGAAAAAUUUAUAUUUUAAGAUUUUCACAUCAGUAAUCUGUUAUAGAGAACUUACGUAUUCAUUGCUGUUUCUAUUUCUAUUCUUAUUCUUAUAUUUAAAAUUUUUCGUACGGAAAGAGAAAAAUGGGCGCUAAUUUUUCCGCCGAAAAAUGGGUCUGUCGACAGACCCAAAUUUGAAUAUACGUGCUUUUAUAUAUAGUAUAGAUUUGUUAAGUAUGCACCACAUGUUUACUAUUAGUCAUUGCAAGUACAUAAUUACUAAAAUGUAAUCGCACACACGCGUGGGUUGGCUAAUUUUUGAAAAGUUUGGAAGUGAAAAAAAUAAUUUAUCCGCAUAAUUUUUUAUUAUGUAGGAAAAUGAUUUACUGGCUAACUUAUUUAGUUGCUUUUCUAAAUAAAGUUUUAAUCUUUAAACUAAAACUUUCUCUUUUUUUUUGAAAGGCAAAGAUGUUCCAAAAAUAUAAAGUUUUGGACAGUGGAUUGAUUAUAAAAAAUUCUUCAAAUAUAUUCUUAUCUCUAGAAUUUACUAAGAAGACUUAAAUUUUAGAAGGAUAUAUUUAAAAGAAAACGAUAAAUUCAAAAAUUUUAAAUGAUAAAUAAGAAUAUUUAAGCAAAAGUCCUAAUAAUUAAUUAUCUUUUCUUUCUUAUUUAUCAAUCAGUAAUAAAUAAUAAAACUGUUUUUUUAUAUUAUUAAAUUGAAAAGAAUAAAUAAUCCAACUCAACCAAUAACAUCCUGCCACGUGUCCUCUCAAAGUAAAUGUCCUGUUAAACUGUAUUUAGAGAUUUAUUUUUAUAAUUAUUUUUUAAAAAAAAUGAUUGUAUAAUUAUAAAAAUUGAUUGAAUUAUUUAUAAAAAAAAUUCUGCCAUAGACUCAUUCUCGUAUCCGAAGCCGACGCGGCUGACGCCACCAAUGUCUAUAAAUACCCAACGAUCCCGUUCCAUUCCUUCGUCCUCGCAUCAUCAUCUCCAUGGCGAUCGCUGGGGAUGCGAAUUGUGAUCGCUAGGGUUUCAAUCUAGUUUCCAUCGUGAUCGCUAGGGUUUCGACCGCCCUGCUCGCAAAUCUUGCUCUCGGGGACUGGUCCUUCUAGGGACAAACCGGUCCCCGUACCCGAAAAUGCCCAGGGCUGGGCUGUGCAUAACUUGCAAAGUGGAGGGGGUUUUUGGUAAUUGUGCAUUAUAUGAGUGCUAAGGGGUCAUCCUUCUCCCUCACUCUCUCAUUUCCUCAACCCUAAACCUAAAACUUCCCUCUCUCUCUCUAAACUCUCUUCCUCUCUCUCUAGAAGGUGAAGAAGGAGUGGGUUUUGGUGGAGAAGUAAGCAAGAAGAAGGGUAUUCAUCAUCUUCUUUCUCCUCUACACCAUUGGAGCUAGCUUUUGGAGGUAAGCUUGAAGCUCAACCAUGGUAGAUUUCUAGGGUUUAGAUCUUUAAGCUCUAAAAUGGUUUAAAUAGAACUCUAGCAUGCUAAAGAGAUGCUUUAUGCAUGAGUUUGGAGAUUUGGAGAUGGAUUCUUGCAUAAUUGCAAGUUAGAGCUCCAAAAUGGGAUUUUGCCUUGUGCUAGGGUUUGAUCUAAAUUGAUCAUGUGUAAACCUAAUUGCUAGGUGUUUGAACGUGUUGGCGAAGACGGUUCGACGAUUCGUCGAGCGGGUGCAAAGUUAUUGGCAAAAAGGACCUUCCGAGCUUCGUUUUCGCCUGGGAGGCCGAGACGACGUCGUAAAAUCGCUAAAUCGCAUUUCUAGAGUUGUGACAACACCAGAAGGUGGGUGGUGUCAUUCGAACCGGACUCCUCUUUAUGUCUUAGUGCAUUGUAAUCUUGCAUCUCUUACAUAUAUGCAUUGUAGGAUAAAUGUGUAUUUUCAUUUCCUCAUGCUUUCCUAGAUGAUAUCAUAGUGUGAGUUGAAUGCUUGAUAUAGUGGAUAGAUGAGGAUUGGGUCGAGACAUUGAAUCCUAUAGUGCUGAGAUAAGAGAUGGACUCGAUGUGUCACGCCCCGCGACCGCCCGCCUAUUUGGCCGGGUCGCGGCGCCGCAACAGAUCGCCGAACGGACAGGGUUUCCCCUGUACUGCGGACAGAGUCUCCCCUGUACGUUCAAGGCAUAGCAAUCAAUACAAUGUGUGAAGUUCCAACCAGGAACACAUUUCAAUCAAGAUUGCAUAAUGGAAGGUAUCAAACAACAUAAACACAUCCUAUAUUAUUACAUUCAUUCAUAUUCAUGCAUUUUACACCUCAACUACCAUUCCUUUUUCAUCCAAAUGCAAUUUAAAUUAUUACAACAUUUAUAUCUUUAAUACAACAUGUUACAUUGUGUUCUUUUCAUUUCUUUAACCCCUAAGCUAUGUCGACGGGGUACUGCUAGCUCUAGUCUCUGGGGUAGGGCGCUAUCUACGGAGCUACGCCCUUUCUUCGCGCCGCCGCGCAGCUCACGUGCGAACCUGUAAACACCCCCAAAUCACGUGGGGUGAGAACCAACUCCAUGGUUCCCAGUGGGUACGGCCACCCAAGGGAAAUGCUCGACCAACAGGUUCAAAGGAGGCAACUGCAGGUUAGUUUAAUAAACAGAUAGAUAUAUAUAUNAAAACAAGCAAAAGAGAGCUUGUCCAAGUUCUUAGAGCUCAUUUAGGACCAUUAGAACCGUUCAUAGGGUGUUUAGAACAAACCCUAGAAAUCCACCAUUAGAGAAUCAUAAAGAACACCAUGGAUUUCAUGUGUUCUUGGCCUCUACGAAGUUCUAAAGCUUGUAGGUAGAUCAAAACCAAAGAUCUAGGGUUUAAAACCCAUUCUACAAAAAUCUACCAUGAGAGGCUUGGAAGUUUACCUCUCCUAGUGCUCCAAGGGAGAGAAGAAGAUGAAGAGGAUGAUGAUAGUGAUGAUCCUCUUCCUCUCCUCCAUCUUCUCCUUCUUUUCUUCUUUUCCUUUCUUCUCUUCUCUUUUUCCUUCUUUUUUUUUUCUUCUUCUCUUCUCUUCUCUUUGCUACCCACGGUUGAGAGGGAGAGAGAGAGACAUGGGAGGGAGAGAGAGAGAGAGAGCUGGGGUUAUAACAUAUUGUAAUAAUUGCCAAAAGACCCCCCAAACAUUCAUAUUUGCAACAGAUCAAUUCUGUGCUGUUUGGGCUCCUUGUACCGGUACACGGUUUCUUGUACCGGUACAAGGCCUGGCAGAUAGCCCAACCCGAGAGCUGGCUCUCUCGGUUGCGCAGUACUUGUAUCGGUACAAGACCCCUUGUACCGGUACAAGGCCUGGCAGCUCCAAGCCGAGUACUUCGCUGGUUGUACCGGUACAACCAUUGGGCUUGUACCGGUACAAGACAUCCAGAAUGUCAUUUUUGACUUCGUUUCCACUCUCUUUCGCGCCGUUCGAUGCCAAAACCCUUUCAACUCUUUUAGAGCUUACUUUUAACCCUUCCAACAGUGUUGGAAUGAUAAUUGGGACUUGUCUAUCCAUCUUCUUCGCAGACGUUAGUCGAUUUGGCUAAAGCUCGAUAUUUUUUCCGAAACCUCGGGGGUUACAAAUGUCAAUAUGGUUAAACUAUGUUUAACAACCACUUUCUUGAUGCUAAUCAUGUCUCUAUUUUCAUUGUCACCCUUAUUUACUAUUGUCCAAGUCCGACUUAUGUUCUUUAACAAUAGGUUCAAUGCCACAUAUGAUUCCAACCUAAGUUCUUUGACACUAGGUUCAUGUCCAACCUAUGUUUAUUCACACUAGGUUCAUAUCAUCCAUGUUCAACCUAGGUUCCUGACUCUAGGUUAAGUGCCACUCGAUCUAAUAUAUAGAUGUCCAAUGUCAAGGUCUCUAUUAUAGAGUUAUCGAUCCAAUUCAUGCAAUCAUCUAGCAUUUACAUAGCAUAUUCAUCAUACAUUCUACGAUAAUUAUUAUAUAGCAACCAUACAAAGCAUUUGCCUAGCUUUUACGUCAUGUCAUUUACAUGCAUUCUUUUAGUGUUAACUACAUGCAUCAUCUCAAUGCCAACAUAUAUUACAACUAGCAUGUACUUCCCAAUGCAUUAUUAUGCAAUUAUCCUGUAGUAUGCAUUUUCAUAAUGUCAAUAUGCGUAUUGUUAUCUAACAUGUGUCCACAUUUAGCAAUUUCUCAUAACUCAUAUGAUUAACAAUAUGUUAACAUUCAUUUAUAUGCUCACGUUCUUUAAUACAUGUCAACAUGAAUCUCAUAAUGCUAAAUGCCCCUAGCAUGUAUUUCACUAAGCAUACAUACUAAUAUGCAAAUUUCCAACUAGCAUGCAUUUAUACAAUGCUAAUAUGCCCGUAUGCACAUACACAUAUGCAUCAACAAGAUUCCAUAUUUCGCUUUGACAUGCGGGGGGACCAAGUCGCUUCGGUAAAUACAACCCACCUCAAAUCGCUUUCCGAUUGCUUGUCGACACUUGCAAUCGGCCUCCCGCGGCACCCGGCACCCGGUUUGGCCCGAUCUCUCGCGCGACCACCCGAACGGCCUCCAAUCCACGAUCCGAAAAUUAAAGGUCUUCGGUUAUGUGCCACGAUGCUUCAAAUCCAUUUUCAUGAGUUUACGAUAUCGCCUCGGCCCUCCAGGCAGAAACGAAGCCUAAACGUCUGUUUCUUUAAUAACUUCGCAACGGCUCGACGAAUCGCCGAACUGUCUUCGCCAACGCGUUCGUUUACCUAGCAAUUAGGUUUACAGAGGGUCAAAUGAGAUCAAACCCUCAUAUUUACAAAACUAGCAUUUUUGAGCCCUAACAUGAAUUAAUCUUCAAAUAAUUCAAAUUAAAUGGGACAACAUGCCAACUAAGCUCAUUAGAGGCUAUUAGAACACUUAAUGUGAAGGAUUAAGCAAAAUCCCAAAAGCUUACCACAAUGUGAACGCCGCGACGAAAACACGCCGCUCCAACGGGCGCACGAAAGCUCGAUUCGUCGCUCCCAACGCGUUCGCGAGCAUCAUCUCCGCCAACGCUGCGAAUUUGAGCGAGAGAUUUGGAGAGAUGAGAGAGAAAUCUAGAGAGAGAAGGGAGGGUUUUCCCUCUCCCUCCAUGCGGGCGUGCGGGUGUGUGUGGGUGUUCACGGCUGAAGGAGGAAGAAGAAGCAUCAAGCUUUUUUAUACAUUACACCUCAAAACAUUAUUCACUCUAGGCAGUUUUUGCAGUUCGGAACAGUUGGAGUCCUUCCGAAUGUUCGUUUAAGCUCAAAUUUGACAGGCAGGCUCAGUUUAACGUACUGAGUAAGAAUAUAUUUUAAGUUUUCAGUUUCAACCCCAUUUGGUCACUGAAAACUGUGCCGAAUGUAAUCUUUAUCAGAUAACUCUCGGAUUUUAUUUCUCACUCUACGGGUGUCAGAAAAAUAUGAAACUUUAAAUCUAGGCUCAUAAAAAUAUUUCUGACUUAUCCUCCAAUUUUCAUAAUUUUCUGAGACUGUGCAUUUUCUGCUAAUUUAUCUGUCCCGUUUUCAACAGAAAAUUCUAGAUCUUCUAUUUUCAUUCCGAUUUCGGCACAAGUCACUUCUGACUUAUGUUUUACUUCUACAAAUCCAAUAAAAAUAGUUUCUCACACUAUUUUUAUUUAUUUUUAUUUUUAUACCAAAAUCUGGUAUGUUACACUGAUACUCCUAGAUGUUCUUUUAUCUUGCUUUAUUUACUGCUUUAUUGUAGACACCUUAUAUGUUUUAGACGUAUGGCAGGUCUGGACGCUUGCCCGGCGGACUUCCGCUGGGUCCCGGGGCAUGACAGAGAGAGUGUCUUGUGUGUGUGUGGGGGAGAGAAAUAAUGGAAAGCCCUCAUUUACCCCUUUACAUAUCCCAUAUAAUGCGUAAAUGCAAUUGGGCCCCUCAACUUUCAUCUAGAUACACUGCCCAGACUGGGCAUUUUCGGGCUGCGUGGACCGGUCUCUCUAGUAGGGACCGGUCCCCGAGAGCACCAUUUUGCAGAGCAGCCUUUCUGCUCAAAUUUUAUGCGUACUGGGACCAGUCUUCCCUCGAGGGACCGGACCUUCAGGGACCGGUCUCUCUUGAGGGACCGGUCCCCGAGAGCACAUUUUUGGUGCAGACUGGUUGUUGCACCCCAUACGCGUACGGGGACCGGUCUCUCCCACCAGGGACCGGUCCCCGAGAGCUCAAAAUCUGCAGUUUGCAGAUUUUCACUCUAAAUGCUCUCGAAAACCUCCUACAUGCACUUUUUGCAUUUUAGACGCCUUCGGCCUUUCCGAAGCGUGCUUUGUUAAAGCGUCGGUAAAUACGUGGCGACUCUUCAUUUGUUGACGCUUUUACCGACGCUUUGUAAUGCGUCAGUAGAUUUUUUAGAGAAAUUUAAAAGCGUCACUAACUGCUAAAAAAAGGUCCUUAAAUGUCAUAUUUUUUGUAGUAUUUGAACUUUAUCCUAAUUUGAUUAUAUCAAAUUAACAAUGCAACAUUUGCACAUAAGUCCUCUUAUAAUUUACUAACCGUUAGUAAGUCCUCUUUUGUAAAAUUUACACUUUAAUGCCACUAAUUUGUAAUAAUUACAAAUUAGUCCAAUUAUCAACAUAUUAAUAAUUAGGUCCUUUGGCGAUUCAAAAAUCGCUAUCUAGCCAUCCGAUCAGUCACAACCUCUUAUGUGUGUGACCCCAUGGGUUCUAUUCUAUCUAGUAGUAAGAUAUAUUCUGAUCACUAUCAAUAAUAUCACCAAAACUUCUUUCAGUGGAUCGGAAUAAUUCUAACUCAACCCAAUAAGAAUUAUCGAUCAUCUAGAUAAUUUUCAUGAGUUUCACAAUCCACUAGUGAUGUUUAGCAACAUGUAGUUGCAUUCCGGUAGAAUGGAAUACCGAAUCUCUUGGUACAGUUACUGUGUGAUACAGUCCUUCUAUCAUAAGUCUUGACUGGACGGAGGUUAUAGAAUAACUUGUCAAACCCCAUCGUCUGUCAUGUGUCAAAUUUAUUCAACUCGACUUUCUAAUAUUGGAAACCCUUUUCCGCUAUUAACUCUACCCUGGCUAAGGUCUUUUAAACUCGUUCUCAUAAAUCACAUAGAACUAACGUCCCUAUCUUCUAAAGGAGGUAGAUUCCAUAUAAAUGCACACCCUAUUCCUACAAUGAAUCUAUUACAGCCAACAUGCACCACAAAGACCUGACUGACUAAGGACCAAGUGUAUGUACAGUCAAACUACAGUAACCUCAUUGUGAAUAGCUGAGACACCGCAUGUCAAAGGACCAGUCACACUACUUCAACAUUGAGUAAGGCACUUACGAGUGAGUAGACAUCUAAGUGACUUUUCGCGUUGGUCACGUUUGGUACCCUUGCUCUCUAACAACCAUCUGCGUAUUUGCUUCAGUGUCCCCACAUUGUCGACUGGAGUCUCGUUUAUCAAGAAGGGAAGCGACCUAUGCACCAAUCUCACCAGAUUAAUCACCGUCCUUGUGAUGAUCUCUCGAUCGAGAGCAUUUAGAAAUUAAUCACUAAUGACACAUAUCUCAAAUUCUCAACUCUUGAGAAUAUAUGACAUCAUCUUAUUAAUGAUAUCAUCUUAUUAAUAACAUUAUCUUAUUAAUUCCUUGCAUGAUUCAUAGACACAUACACAAUAUGAAUAAAAAUAAGAACCCAAAUUUAUUAAUAAUAUUUUAAAGUCAAAUACAAAUUUAUAUCCUAAAAAAAAUACAUGUGUCGGACUAGUUGGCUUCUAGGGUAUACAUCUAACAGAGCCAACCCCAACGUGUUCAUGUUUGGCUCGUAGACGCCCCUAGCCGUCACCGAGGGGCGCGGAGGCGGUGAAGGAGGCUAUGAGGGCUAGAGAAAAAAAAUGAAUGAUAGAAAAAAAGAGAAAAAUAAAUAAAUGUAUUUUGAUCAGUUCAUUAAAAAUUCAGCCAAAUAUGUAAAAUUUAAAAUAAUAGCCCGUCGUUAUAAAAAUACAAAACUUAUGAAUUUUUUAUGCAGAAAGACCUUAUAAUUUAAAAUGAAUAAAAAAUUAUACAGGACCUAAUUUUGGCAAACUUUAAUUUGUCUUUCUGUGGCUUUGUUUAUUUUUUUAUUUUACCAUUGUAUUGUUUAAAAAUUAGUUUUUAACUACUCUAUGCAAGCAAUGAAAUCGUCCUUGUUUUUCUUUCAGCAUGGCUUAUGAAAGCAAGAAGCUUCCAUGGUUCACAAUAUGAAUGUAAAAAUAAUAACCCAAAGGGUUGGUGAUUGGUUGGUAUUCGAGGUUUCGAAUUCCAAUUCUAAUUUAUUCAUAUUUUUAGCUAAAUUUAUUUUUAAAUAAAAUAAACAAAAUUAAUAAUAUGCUGUCUAUCCCUAAAAAAAUAAUAAUAAUAAAUAACCCAAGUGUCAGUUGCCACUUUGAUCACGGCGGAGAAAAUAAGCAAUAAGCAAUAGCCAUUAUUUCCCGCGGCGUUGUAAUAUUCCUGUCGCAUCAUUUCUCGACACUCUUCCACGCUCUUUUUCUCUUUCUUCUUUUAAAAAUAUAAUAAUAAUAAUAAUAAUAAUAAUAAUAAUAUAUAAUUAAAUAUAACAAAAUUUGAAUAUUAAUAUUAACUAAUUAAUAUUAACUAAUAAUAAUUGUAAUUCUCGCCUCGUCGCGGUGGUGGUUACGCAGCGGCGAGACAUCAUACACCCACACCCCUGCCUCCCCGCGCUUACCCUCAACCCCACGCAAAACCGAAUCAAGAAACCGUCGCCGAUUCCCGCGGCCACGUCGACCGUCCCCCUCCUCUCCCCUGCCACCGCUCUCACCCAUUCCCUUCUCGGCGUCACCACGUGCGCCCGAUCGCGCCCCGAUUCUCCCGCGAUCCGUUCUCAUCUUUCACCCCCGAUCCCGUUUCCGUUUCCGCUUCCGCUUCCGCUUCCGCUUCCGUUACGUUUCCGUUUUCCCCUUCCCAUUUCCCUCCUCUUCUUCUCCUUCCCUCCUUCCUUCCUUCUCUUCGAUGCAUCCCUUCUGCUGCGCCACCCCCCCCACCGCCACCACAACGGCCGCCGCCUCACCGAGUUCUCCGCCUCCCUCCGCAGCGGUUCCUUCCACGACCUCGGAGGUCUCGUAGGGGGACCCCUCCACCUCCACCACCACAACCACCUCCACGGCGACGUGAAGCUGAACGAGAUCGUGGGCGGGGGGAUCUCCGGGAUCCUGCACAAGUGGGUGAACUACGGCAAGGGGUGGCGCCCCCGGUGGUUCGUGCUCCAGGACGGGGUCCUCUCCUACUACAAGAUCCACGGCCCCGACCGCAUCGACGUCAACCGCGAGACCGAGAAGGGAUCCAAGGUCAUCGGCGAGGAGUCCGUCCGCCGUCUCUCCCGCCCCCGCGACGGCAACGCCCACGCGCUCGCCCGCAAUCCCAUCGGCGAAGUCCACCUCAAGGCGAGCGCCGCCCUUCCCUUCCUAUCAGUAUCAGAUCCCGAGAGACGUGAUGAAAUUUAGUUUUCAUCAAUCGGUUGUUGUCGUUGUUGUCGUUGUUGCUGUUGAGAUUUAGUUUUAGUCUUCUUCUGCAGGUGUCUUCGAUCAGGGAGAGCAGAUCGGACGACAAGAGAUUCUCGAUCUUCACGGGGACGAAGAGGCUGCACCUGAGGGCCGAGACGCGGGACGACAGGGCGUCGUGGAUGGAGGCGCUGCAGGCCGUCAAGGAGAUGUUCCCAAGGAUGUCGAACAGUGAGCUCAUGGCGCCGGUUGACGCUGCCGCCGUGUCCACGGAGCGUCUGCGGCAGCGCCUUCUGCAGGAGGGGGUCAGCGAGUCCGCCCUCCAGGACUGCGAGCAGAUCAUGCGCAGCGAGUUUGCUGCGCUGCAGAACCAGCUCAUGGUCCUCAAGCAGAAGCAGGCCCUCCUCCUCGAAACGCUCCGCCAGCUCGAGGUAUGUACGUUAUAUGUACGUUGUUCCACGCAUUCUUUCUUUUCAUCUGCUAAUUGGACUAUUUGCCUGAAUAUUUCUCUUCCACAAGCUAUGGAUCUUGCAUGCUUUGCCAUUAUCUUCUGCCCAUCAUUCUCUGUUCCUUGAAUAUCACAUAUGGACUUCGAUUUCUCCUUUACAAGCUAUGGAUCUUGCAUCCUUUGCCAUCCUCUUCUGCUCAUCAUUCUCUGUUUCUUGAAUAGCACAUAUGGAGUUCGUCUCAAUCCUGUUUAGACUAAAUUUUUUUUUUUUUUUUUUUUUUUGAUCUAUAGUGCCAGGCGAGAGAUGCGUGAAUUUAGCUAGCCUUUUCUCACAUGAUGAUUAAGUUCUAGAUUUCACAAUUCAUGCAGUUUGCUAUUACUUAUUGGAGCAUAACCUUGUACUUUUCGGCAUUUGGUGAGUGAUGAAAGCAAUCGCCUUUAUGCUUGAAAUUGAUUUGAGCGUUUUAUUUGGGAAUGACUUGUUUAGUAGUGUAAUGUUUUUCAGGAGCUUCUUCUCAAUUUUAUGCAAGUGCUGUAGCAUACUUGCUCUAAGUUCUCAAAUGGGUAUAUAUACAUUUAUAGUGGACUUGCUACUAGCUUGCCAGCUUUUAGGGUUUUUUAAACAUAAUAGUUUUGUUCAAAAUGGUGCUUACCUCCUAAACUUUUACAGCUUUACCUACUGUUGUGAUUUUGUCUCUACCAUUGUGGACGUUAUACUAUAUUGUUGAUUCACUGAUGGAAAUUCAUCUUUUGAUUAGAUUGGGUUAGAUGGGAGUUGUGUCUGGAAUUGUAUUGAUUUGAUUUCAGAAUGGAUCAUUGUGGAAUAAUUGUCAUUAGGGUCUAACUAUCUAGACAAAUUAAGUCCUAUUGGGGUUGAAUUUGGUUAGGUGAGGUUUUGUUAUCUGAUUCUCACCAGAUCAGCUUUGUUAUUCUAGUAAGCAGUUGGUUGCAUGAUUUUUCACAAACCAAAAGAGGGUUGUAGAAGAAUACUAUUUUCGAGCAAUACUUGUUGAUGAAAGAAUAAAGAGGAGAAUCAGAUUUAAGGUCAGAAGUCAUCUCUAUAAAUGAAGCACUACGAGACCCUUAAAGGUGAAUUGUUAAUUUGAACCAAAUGGAUCCUUAUUUAACUGGACAGUGGGAUGUCUAGUUAGUGUGCUAGAGAAUGCUUUGUUUUGGGCCAUACUUAUACAUCAACCUGUGUUACUUGAGAAUCAUAACAAUUUUUCCAGGGACAAUGGUAUGAGAAUGAUUCACCUAGAGAGUAUAAAUAAAGCUAGGAACAAUAUAUAUCGUGGAAUUUUCCCUACAGUGUAUAUAUAUAUAUAUAUAGAGAGAGAGAGAGAGAGAGAGAGAGAGAGAGAGAGAGAGUCCGGCUACUACACUCUUAUGAGUAUAUGCCACUUUGUACUCAUAAGUUUUCGGUCGUUAGAUCUUCUCCUUAGAUCAUUUCCAUCCGUUAGAUCAAACUAUUCUGCCAACAACCCACUCAACCCUAGGGGACCACUAUUAUUCUAAUCGGGGAUCACUAUUAUCCUAACCGCACAUUCCGUCAUCUAACGACCGAAAACUUAUGAGUACAAAGGACUAUACUCAUAAGAGUAUAGUAGCCCUAGCCUAUAUAUAUAUAUAUAUAUAUAUAUAUAUAUAUAUAUAUAUAUAUAUAUAUAUAUAUAGAGUUGGCUAGAAUACUAUCGAUAGCAAACGGCUCCGUUGCCACCCAUUUGUUUUCGAUGAUAGAGCCUCCAAAUCGACGAUCGGCACGUUGAACAUGAUCUAUACCACUUGAAGUGUUUAGAAAUCAAAUUUCAAAUCUUUUCGACAUCAUUUACCUAAUGAUCAAAGGGUUUUAAAAUUUGUAAUUUUAAUGGUCGAUAUGAGGCGUUUUCUCAUUUAACGGUGUAAAGAUAUCCAAAUCAUUGAAUUUUUGUUCGAAAAUAUUUAAAAUAUUUAAAACAAGAUCUAUACUCUUGAUCUUGAUUACAAGACUCCUAUCAUCAUUUUUUAAAGAAUAUUCAUUUUCAGCCGUUCAUUUUGUGUCCACUCGAUGGAUAAGAGAACAAUAUCGGAAAUGUUUGAAAUUUGAUUUCUAAACACUUUAAGUGAUAUAGAUCAUAUUCAACGGUGCGAUCGUCAAUUUGGAAGCUCCAUCAUCGAAAACAAAUGGUGGCAACGGAGCUCGUUUGCUAUCGAUAGUAUUCUAGCUCAACUCUCUCUCUCUCUCUUUUCUCUUCUUCUCUAUAUAUAUAAUAUAUAUAUAAUAUAUAUAUAUAUAUAUGAGUGGGCUGGUAUGCUUAUGGAAGCACGGAACCUCUGUGCUUCCAAGUUGUUUUCGAUGUUUGAAUUUCGAAUCGACGAUCGGCUCCGUUAGAGUUGAUCUAGAGUAUUUGAAGUACCUAGAAAUAAAAUUUGUGAUUUUUCGAUAUCAUUUGCCUAGUGAUCGAAGGGGCUCAAAAUCAAUAAUUUUAAUGCCGUGGUGAGCCGGUUGCAAGUUUAACGGUGUAGAAAUAUCCAAAUCACGUGAAAUUUUGAUAGAAAAUUCUUUAUACCAUAUAAAACAAGAUCAAUAACUUUGAUCUAAAAUUUUAAUGUCAUAUCAUCAUAUUUUGUAAGAUUUUUAUUUUCAGCCGUUGAUUUUGAGCCACUUCGAUCACUAGGCAAAUGAUAUCGAAAAAUCGCAAAAUUUAUUUUCUAGAUACUUCAAAUACUCUAGAUCAAGUCUAACGGAGCCGAUCGUCGAUUCGAAAGUCCGAACAUCGAAAACAAAGUGGAAGCACGGAGCCCUCCGUGCUUCCAUAAGCAUCCUAGCCGCACUCAUAUAUAUAUAUAUAUAUAGAAUUGAGCUAGAAUACUUUUAGAAGCACCACGGUUUUUAGCCCUUGGAUCUACUCCUUGAUUACUACUAGCCCUUGGAUCUACUCCUUGAUUACUAAUAGUCCUUGAAUCAAACACUAUUCCACCUACCACUACCUACCAUAAGUAUUGGACAUAUAUACAAGGGAAUUUUUCUCUUUGAAUACUUAAUGCUCAAGCACGUUAUAAAAAUCCACAUCUUCGUUGCCAAUUCUUCAAAUUUGUAACUACUAGAUGCUGUAUAUUUAAUGGGCUUUAAGUUCUCAAAUAAGUUUGAAGAAAAAUAUUCUUUCAUAUAGUGAGGUACAUGUGUUUAUAGGAUAAUCUAUGAAGCACGGAUACUUCAAAUUUCAUGCCGUAUCCGUAUCGGAUACGUAUCGGAUACCGAUACGCGCCUGAUACGCGCCCGAUACGUGUCCGAUACGGGAAUGAAGUAUCUGGCAUUUUUAAAAAAUAAAAAAAUAUCGGAUACAGCUCGGAUACGUGAGGGAUACGGGGGGAUACGGGGGGGACACGGCCCGGUUCUUUUUUGGUCUAAAAUGAUUGAAACUUAAAAUUUUUUUAAAAGCUCACGUCCAAACCUAUUGGAAAGAAGGAAAAGAGUGAGAAAAACACCAAUAUCCGUUCAAUUUGUCAUUUCAUCUAUCUUUUUGUUCUUGAAUGGUAGAAGGCGCUCCCUCUUGUUCUAUCUUCACACAGUAUUUACUCUCUUCCAUCUAAUUUGUCAACCUAGUAUUAAGCAACAAAGGCUAUAGAAAAUAUGAUUUUUUUUUUCCUUCUCUAUUAAAUUGUUAGCAUAGUUUUUUAUUACUAUUUUAAUAAUAGAACUAACAAAUCAGACAUAUAUAUUGAAUGGCUAAUUAUCUAGUUUGUGCGACUAUAUAUUUAUUGUUAUCAUUUAAUCAAGUUGAAUGAUAGUUGGUUUGAUACUUUUUGAAUUAUUAUUUUAUAUGAUUGAUUAUCUUUUUUUAUGAACAUAUGUAGAAUAAUUAUACAAGUUAAUGCAUAUUAGAAUAUAUUCCUUAAUAUAGUCUAGAUAUUCUAAUUGUUCUCAAUAUAUCAUUACAUAUAAUCAACAUACAUUUAAAUAUAUUUAAAAUAAUAUUUUAUUUAAGUAUAUCCCGCGUAUCGUAUCCUAGAAGUUUUAGAAAUUGCCGUAUCACCGUAUCCGUAUCGUGUCAUAUCUGUAUCCCCGUAUCCUUAUCUGUGCAACAUAGAGGAUAAUGGUGUUGGCAAUCACGUACACCCCCUUGCACUCCUAUGGCCCCACCUAUGGAGAGAUGAAUAAUUGUUUCAGUUCUAGAUAUGAAACUUUUGAUUUUGCAUUGUAGACAUGACAAUUUACAUUAAGGGCCCGUUUAGUUCAUGGUUUGUAAUAUUCAGAUAAUUCUUCAUAUUUUCUAUUGAAAAUAUUUAAAUCAUUACCAUUCAACUCAAUUAAAAGGUAUUAGUGAAUUAGUGGAAUUGUUGUAGAUUUCUAUGUGGUAGGAAUACUAGAUUUUUACGGGUUAAGAGGUAUUCUCAUUUUCAUCUUUGAUAGGGAUCAAUAGUAGAUAGUCCUUAACAACCUCCCAACCCAAGUGGCAUGAUAAGUUUAGUAAUAAACUUGCCAUUCCAAAAUGUAAUACAACAUUCCUGUAAUAUUACAAACCUUGAACCAAACGGCCCCCCCAAGGGUUGUUUAAGUGUCAUGGGGGACCAACUGCAAGUCCCAUGGCCAACUGCAAGUUAUAAUUGAACCCUUAAUGAAUUAAAAGGGUGUUACUUAUUCUUCCAAUGAACUAGCUACUUAUUCUUCCAUGUUCUUCGACUUUCUAUAGGUAACUAAUCAUUUUCGAGAAAACUAAUUUCACGUGCUCAUGGCUGUAACUACUUUCCAUGUUUCUCAAAUAAAUUGCUUAAACAGGGAGUCUUUAACUGUACAAACGUUUUAAUGAGGAUCCACUAUCUUUUCUUGAUGUUUGAAUUUCCUUUCUUUUCCUUGUUAAUGUUGUUGUUUGAAUUUCCUUUCUUUUCUUUGUUAAUGUUAUUUCAUAUAUUGUUUGUUCUGGUCUGCUGAUAAAAUACUGUUUUAAUGCCUUCAUAUGUAGACAGAAAAGGUUGAUUUGGAGAACACCCUUGUUGAUGAGAGCCAAAGACUGUCAAAAGAGUAUGGAUCUGCUUCUAGAUCAAGGAAUGAGAAAUAUAGUGGUAUGACAAAUGGUUGAAUGGUUUGUCAUAUUCAACUGUUAUAAUAAUAUCUGAUACUACCCUACUUCAUUGUACCAUUAGCUGAAUUUCAUUUUAAAUGAUCAUAAUGAUUUAACUUUGCUACUUUUAAAGCUAAUUUAUCAUGAUCAUCCAUUUUAUUUUAUUUUUAUCUAGCUUUAUUAGAUGUUUUCUUAUUAUCACUGACUAGAUCUUUUAUUUGUUGUCGUUUCAUUUUAUUCAGCAUUCUGAUGCAUUUUCAGGUUGCAAUUUUACAGAUCAAUAGCAUUAACAUUAGCAUGACUUCUUGUUUUCAUUGUUUUGUUGCAGAAUUAUCUACUUGUUUCCAGCAAAAUCCAUUCGCAAGUAGUUAAACUAAGGUUGCAAUACUUUAGAACCAUAAUACUUGUCCAAUAAUCCUUGAUUAAACAGGUGUAAGACAUCUAUUCGGCCAACAAUCUAGCUUUUGCUAAUGUAAUGUUGUUUAGUAGCCAAAGCCUUAUAGAGUGGUGCUGGCAACAUAAGUCAGGAAACAAAAGUAAUUUGUAUACCUCAAGGAUCAUUUACAAAUGGUAUGUUGCAUAUUGCUUAGAGGCUGUGAGGUUUAUUGAAGUUUGAUUUCCUGGCGUCCUUUGUAGCCAGCAGAACUUUAUGAGACAUUUCUUGUUUGUAUGAGGUCCUUUUGUACCAUUCCUAAAUCUGGUGUCCAAUACAUCUUUUUAUUAGCACAUGGAAAUUUCCUUCCUGUGUAUCAUAGAGAUUUUAUGCUUCUCUGUUGCUAAUUACUAGUAUGAUAUUAUCAUAGUACUCACAUAUGAUCUUACCAAUCGAUAAUUUCUAAUUAAGUCUUUUUAUGGAAAUUUUGAACAAUAAGAUUCUUAAAUAUCGCUGUAUUGUCCUUCCUUUCGUUCUAUAUAUUUUUAACCGUGGAGGCGUGGACUUAAUUGUUUUAUUGACUUAUUUUGUUUUCCUCAUCUGAAGUUUCAAACAACUUUUCGAUUAAUUUCACUUUGUAAGUGUAAUUUGUAUCUUACAUAUUUCCUCUUCCACUAUUGACAUGUUGUCGGGGGACAAUUUCUUUCUUUCUUCUUAACUGUCGUCAUUUCUUUAUACUUGCUUCAUUAACUUAAAUGCUUGUAUCUUUCUCGGAAAUUCUAUAUUUUCUCUUUUAUCUUUUUGAUUUUUCAUUAACAGUGAGUUGAUAUAGGACUUUGACAAUGUGUAUAGCUAACUUGAAGUGCAAAGUAUGUAAGCCAAUGAGGUGGUAGAAACUGUAGCAACUAUCACUACAAAUGUCUAGCCAUGCUUAGUGACAGACAUGCUUUAUCUUAAAAUAAUGAUGAAUGCUCUUCACAUUAUUAGGUACACAUUUUAGAACUUUGUUCCCUUCGCACUAGGUUCACUCAAAAAGUAUGAUGCAUUUGAAAGUGUCUAUUUCCAUAUAUUUAAUGUUUAGAUGUAUUUUGCUCGAUUUCAAUAUAUUGUCUUAAUGUCAUCAAUCGAAAUUUACUGUCAUAUUUAUGUGCAACUAAUACUAACAGCUUUUUCGGAGAAGAAUAUUAGCAUAUUACACGUUUUUAAUUUCCAUGUUUACCAAAAAUCCUCCUAAUUGUUCAUACAUUUUUAUUCCGUAGGGAGAAUAGGCUGAUGAUCGUAAUGGAGGAAAAAUUAAAAGUUAGACGUAAAGGCAAAUGAUAAUAGAAAAUGACUUAAGGAGGGAGAAUAACUAACAGUUGAAAUUAUGAUGAAUUUUAUUCAGUUUCUACUAAUUAUUUGAUAUUUAGUAUACUUUCCAUUUUUCGUUAUCUUAUUUAAGCAUAAUUUUGUUCAGAAGGAAGUGCUAGCGAAUCUGAUGAUGAUAACGAAAGGCAUGAUGCUGCUGAAGAGGAGACUGAUGAUGAAGACAAUGCAUAUUUCGAUACAAGAGAUUUUCUCUCGUCAAGUUCUUUCAAAAGCAGUGGAUCCGAUUUUCAUAGAUCGGAAAAUGGUUCUGAUGAGGAAGAAUUUCAUCCUGAUGAUGGGAUUGAUCCCUCAAUGAAGUCAGUUGGGACUAGUUAUCCUUAUGUAAGAAGGCGUAAAAAGCUGCCAAAUCCGGUUGAGAAAGAGAAGGGAGUAAGUCUCUGGUCAAUGAUUAAGGAUAAUAUAGGAAAAGAUCUCACCAGAGUUUGUCUCCCUGUGUACUUCAACGAACCACUCUCAUCUUUACAAAAAUGUUUCGAAGAUCUUGAAUAUUCCUACCUUCUUGACCAUGCAUAUGAAUGGGGAAGAAAAGUAAGUUCUUGCACUACUUUCUAUCCUUUUCUUUCAGUAAAUAGUUUUGAAGGACAAAUCUAAAUAGUAUUUACUAUGGUAUUAUUUGAAGUCUUUUGUGUUAUGAAUUUCUACUUUUAUUUGAUUUUUACGUAUUCUAUUGUGUUGGCCUUAUGAUGAUAUCUUUUUUCCCCUUUCUUUUCAUUUUUAUGGAACAUGCCUUUUUCUCAUAGUUUGAAGUUAUAGAAUAUUUAGUAGCUAACAAAUGUGGAACCGUUAAAGGUGACUUAGGAUUAUUUAGUAUUUUUCAGACAAUAUUUUACAUUGUGAUGGCAAGUAUUGUAAAGCAACUGAACAAGGAUGGCACGUGCCGACCAAUCCUCUUGUUCCAACCCGUGUUGUAUUGUACCAACCCAGUAUUGUCACUUGGCAUGGGAGUGUAUUGACCAUUGCGACUGGAGGCUAGUGUCUAUGGUGCUGUAUAUUGCCUUUCUAUCAAGGUAUCGCAACCUGUAUCAUUACAAUGCUAGCUAUACUGCUUUAGUGUGGAUUUGGCUUUACCCCAAAAGGUGAAUUUUUUGGUUUCUCAACAGUAAAGGGGUUCAGAGCAAGCCUUAGCACCCAGUUGCAUCUUUCUUUAUUGCUUAUCCUUCUUCAAACAAUACAUUGUGGAGGAGCUUAUUCUAAAGAGAAAUAUGACUCCAUCCUUUUCUCCCUUUCUCUAAAGGACAGUUCCUUUAACACAUUCUUGAGGUAGUUUUGUUGUUUUGAACUUGUUCUUGUAGUUAUAGGGUAAUUUUAGACAGAGUGGAGUUGGGGCUUUUUCAAUCAUGGGAACCCUUGACCUUGUAUAUAUCUAAGCACUUUUGUGUUUCUUCAUGUUGGUCAAUCAACCAAGUUAUUGCAAAGUUUCCUUUCUUCUUUGUUUUUGCCUUUUCAUGCUUUGCUUUCUCAACAAAAAAAAAAAAAAAAAAUCAAAAAGCGAAAUGCUCUUUUUUCCUUGAUAAAUCAGUAGAUUUUGUAGUUCUGUGAAUAUUUGGAACCAAUAGUAAUCCAUUAAUGGUUUAAAUUUUAGUGGAAAAUACAAAUUGCAAGAUUUUCAGAUUCUCAUAAUAAAAAUUUAAAUUUGGGUUGCUUAUAUUAGGUUUAGAAAGAACCAGGGAUUAAGCAGGAACAGAGAUGAAAAGCUCUUAACUUUGGACCUUCCUAUGCUGACCAAUUAACGAGCCUGCUCUAACCUGCUCAAGACACAUAUUAGUUACCUUUGCAGUAUUUUCUUCACCAAAUUUAGCCGACUUUGGAGAGCAGGAAAUCAACAUGAAGAAGGCUAUCUAAAGAGGAGCGUGAUCCUUUUUUUCGCUAAUAAUUCGCUAAUGUAGUCCAAAAUUGAAUUAUGUUUUUUGCCUUUUUUGUAUCUUUGUGUACUGUUUGGUUCCCAAUGUUGUGGAAGUUGAUCAAUCCCUUUGUAAGUUUUGUUGGAUUUUUUAUUGGGUUUUGUAGAUUAUCCUAGAUUCACCCUCAUUGUUAAGUUGGCUUUUAGUUGGAUUGUUAUCUUUCAAUGAUAGACAAGGAUUUAAAUCUUUGCUAGAUCUCUUUUUAUGAUUUUUGGAAGAGAAAUGUAUAAAUUUUGUUUUAAAUCUUUCAGUGAUGGACCAAGGAUUUAGUUGGAUCGUUUUAAUCUUUUUGAUUUUAAAUUACUGUGCUGUCUCUUUGGGAUUGGGAUAAAAUUUUACAUUCAUUUGGCAGUUUAUUUACUAUCAUUCAUGACCAAGAAUAUAGUUUUGAUUUCAUUUAUAAUUGACUAAUAUGAAUUAAUAGUGGAAUACUGUAGAAUGCCUUUUUGUCGGUAUCUUGUCUGCUAGUACAUCUUGUUGAUUCAAUAUUUCCUUUGAAAGUCUUAAUCUUGUUAAACCAUCAUAUUCAUGCGAUUAUGUACAAGUCAGCUUUCCACCUAAUGGUUUAUAAUCCUAAAAUGUUUUAUCAUUUUUUAGGGAAAUAAUCUUAUGCGGAUCCUUUGUGUUGCUGCAUUUGCUGUUUCUGGAUAUGCAUCAACUGAUGGCAGAAGCUGCAAGCCUUUCAAUCCACUUCUUGGGGAGACAUAUGAAGCAGAUUAUCCGGACAAAGGCCUUCGCUUUUUCUCAGAAAAGGUUCGGAUUUUAUAGCGGUUCUGAUGUUUUUGCAUUAUCAUUUUAUUUAUUUCAUUUGCUAGUAUCAUAAACUUCUAUUUGCUUUUCUUGAUUUUAAAGAUUUGCUUCAUUGGUAGUUCUCAAGUGCAUCAUGACAUUUACUCUGUUACACCUGUGCUAUUCAUUUCUAUGUGCUCAUGAUUUUUUGCCGUCUUUAACAAAAUUUCGAACUUACAUAUCUUAAACCAUGCACGUAAAGUUUUGAGUUCUUUAAUUCUAAUCUAUUUCUAUUACAUUAAAGGAGAGUUGGGGGAACCUCAUGGUGACACGUGUCCCCCAACUCUCCACUUCUAUAUAUACUAGUGUAGUGACCCCGCACGAUGCGGUGGGCAAAUAUUGUUGUAGCAAAAUUUUUUCUUUGUCAAGACUUGAAGACAUAUAAUGAUUUUAAAAAAAAAUAUAAAGAAGGCCUCAUAAGUUUGCGAAAAAAAGGCCACACAUUCUAGCAGUGCACAAAUCCCUAAAUAGAGAGGGCUUAAAGUAAUUUAAUCAGCUUACAUACAAUAGGCAAAAGAAGGAAGAAGCACUUGAAGUUAAAUUAGACAAAAGCAAUUGUAAUUCAGCAGCUUUAAACAACAAAAGUCUGGCAUACUUGAAAAACUUCAAAAUAUAAAAUAUAAUGAACUCACAUAAGAUUUAGGAGUAAAUAGUAGAAAUAGUAGUAUGACAUUUUUUUCUCAUUCCUAAUGAAUGAAGCGAGCAGCGAGCUACCUAUUUCUCAAAAAAAAAACAUUUUUUUUUCAUUCCUCGUAACAUAUAAGCUAUCACCACAAUAAUAAAAGUAGCAACUAUUUUAAGUAUAAAAUAUGGUAUACAGUUAAAGGCGAAAUAGCAAAUACAUAAAAAAAAUAAAAAAUUUUGAGUAACAAACAAAUAAAUUGUAGAAGCCGAGGAAAGAGUGUAAGAGUUGGCUGAAAGAAAAGGCAAUAGUCAGUAAAAAAUUAAAGAAAGAAUAAAAUAUGACUAAUAGAAAAAGUUGGUUAAGAAAUGUUACUAACCUGCUUGUCCCAAAAAUAUGCGAUUGUAGUAAUACAAAAAUCAAGUGAAGCAGCAACUUACAAAAUUCAUUAGAAUAUAUAUGUCACGCCCCGAAACCGCUACCACUUUGGCCGGUUUGGGCGCGUCGGACAGACGCCGAACGGACAGCACCUCUCCUGUCCGCCCACGGCUAAACAACGAGAUUGUGUACACAAGUGCCCAGGAAAACAACUUGAUUACAUACACAAUCAGACAACAACAGCGAGAGCACAACCAGUGCUAAUUAACUAAAGAGCAAGCAUCACAAGUAAUAAAUAUGUGAAUAAAAGAGAGAUACUAAUCUAUUACAUCCAUUCAACUUUAAUACAUUUGAUUAUUUUACAUUCUUCCAAAAUACAACAUAAACUUAAAGUUUACAAUUUCCCAAAAUAUCUCACACCUAUACAUCAUCUACUCUCAAGUAUGUACAAGAUAACUCUAAUGCAAAGGGUAAGAAAGCUACUACUACAACCUCUAGUGCGCUAAGCCCUUACCGCGAUCAACUGCCGGUCCGCUCUUGUGUGUACCUGUACCCCAAAACCACACGUGGUGAGAACUAUAUAAAUAUAGUUCCCAGUGAGUUCGGCCGCCGACUCCGCCGAUCUUCCCACUAGGUCUAAGCUGGCACAGAUAGAUAGAUAGAUAGAUAGAUAGAUAUUGAACUGCAACUAAGAUCUACUAUGCCAUCAAUAGUCAAAUGUAUGAACUACAACAUAAUAUGCAAUCUACCACAUGAUACUAUGUCAAGAAGUCACACACGUCUACUCAGUCACAGGGGAGGAUCCGCUCACUCGCUCGACUCACAACACACACACACACUCUCUACGGGGAGGAUCCGCUCACUCGCUCGACUCACAACACACACACACUCUCUACGGGGAGGAUCCGCUCACUCGCCCGACUCACAAUCUAGUCACAACGGAGAGGAUCCGCUCACUCAGCAGACUCACAACACACACACACUCUCUACGGGGAGGAUCCGCUCACUCGCCCGACUCAACACAGGUACCACAACCCAAUCUCUAUCUAACAGGUGAGGAUCAGCUCACUCACCCUACUCACCUGGGAAGGAUCAGCUCACUCUCCCAAGACCGUCUGUGGGACCCAUAAAGGCUAUCCCUCGGGACCCAGAAAGGCUAUCCCUAUCAUGUGACAACUCCGGAGUGCACUGCUUGUGUGGAGCGAUCACACCAAGCUUCGAACAGACAUAUGAGUAUGAUCAAAUCCCCGUCACCGAGGAUACCCUACCACUCUAGACAACAUCACUUGGGAACUAGCUCAUCCCUAGGUUCCACCUACGACAAGUAUUUUCUCUAUACUUUACUUAUCAUGCCACUCGUCAAGUUUAACAUUAACUAGAUGCCACUCGUUCUCAAUACUCUAAUUGUACACAAUGACUAGGUGUUCUUUCAACUAGAGUCUAUCUACAUUAAUCUUGUCAUUAUAGGGUUUCACUACACUAUGUCCCAAUCACAUGCAUACUAGGUACAAGUAUCUAAGCCAACAACACUAUAUUACACUAGCACGCAAGAAUAUGUAAUAACACUAAUCGAGCACCCUAUAAUGCAUCAUGCUUAAUAUGCAUAAUUGAUCAACAUAGAGAUACUUAGACGUAAGGAGAAGCCCAGUUGCUUCGGGAUGACACCCCCCACCUUUUAUCGCUACCACGAGGCUAGGGUUCCGUUUUUGUGAUUUUAGGAAGCCGCGCCGCGAACUACGGCAAUCUGAACCAAAAAAAGCUUUUCCUUCAAUAUCUUCGCAACCGCUCAACGAAUUGACGAACCGUCUUCGCCAACGCGUCAGAAUCAUUCAAUUUAGAUCAAAACCCUAGAUUUCCCAAAACCGCCAUUUUGAGCCCUAGGUAUUCACUAUGCAAAAAUCCAUCAUGUAGCCUCUAGAUUCAAGCAUCAAUCAACUCCCUAGCAUGCUAGGGUUCACCCAAAUCCAAUUCUAGAGCUUAAAACCCAUCUCUAAGGAUCUACCAUUAGAGGGUAUAAAGCUUACCUCAAACAAGCUCCAAUGGCCAAGGGAAGAAGAUGAAGUUCUUCUUUCUUCGCUUCUUCUCCACCAAUCCCUCAUCUCCUUUCCUUCCUUGAUGAGAGAGAGAGCUUCUAGAGAGAGAGAGAGGUGUCUUAGUGUCACGCCCCGCGACCCCGCCUAUUUGGCCGAGUUCGAGCGCGUCGACAAACCGCCGAACGGACAGAGUUUCCCCUGUACGUCCUAGGCGUCGCAAUCAAUACAAUGAACAUUACAAGGGUUCCAACCAGGAACAGAUAUCAAUCAUGAUUGCAUAAGGAAAGUAUCACAACAUAACACAUCCUAUGUUAUUACAUGCAUUCACAAUAAUACAUUUACUUUACAUCCAACUCCCAAAUGCAAUUAAGUUAUUACAUCAUUUGCUUAUUACAAAUUGAUACACUGUAUUCUUUUCAUUUCCCAAACCCUUAGGCUAUGUCGAUGGGGUAUUGCUAUCUCUGGUCUCUGGGUAGGGCGCUAUCUAUGGAGCUACGCCUUUUCCUCGCGCCGCCGCGCCGCUCACGUGCGAACCUGAAACACCCCAAAACAACGUGGGGUGAGAACCAACUCCAUGGUUCCCAGUGGGUACGGCCACCCAAGGGAGGAGCUCGACCAAUAGGUCCAAGGAGGCAACUGCAGGUUAGUUUAAUAAACAGAUAGAUAGAUAUUUGACUAUGCAAUUAAUAAAACCAUACCUUGCCUCGCAAAUGCAAUAUGAACAUUAUGCAACUAUGCAACUGCAUAAACAACUAGUAGAUAUGUUAAUUCUACAUUUACUUUGCUACUUUAGGUCAUUUCAUUCAAUUGUAAGGUUUCCAUUACCUUAUGUUCUCAACUCAAGUUCAACUUGCUUCUAAGGUCUCUAUUACCUCAGGUUCUUGCCUCGAUCACUAGCUUAUAAGGUUCCCAUUAACCUAAUCAAGCUAACCACCCGACUCGGCCUCGAGUCAAUCAUCCGCGGAUAGUCCGCGCACUGGCUGCACCUCAGCCUGGCUGCCGUCGCAGCCUACCGCAGAUCUGACUUAACCAUCUGGCGGCGAACUCAUCGCUCUCACCCAACAACAACUCAAGUCAUGACUUAGCCAUCUGGCGGCGAACUCAUCGCACCUCACCCAACAAUGGUUCAAGUCAUAACUUAGUCAUCUGGCAGCGACCACAUCGCUCUCACCCAACAAUGGUUCAAGUCAACCUAGGCGGCAUCAUCCGAUAAGCUAAUGGGCGAGGAGAACCACACAUACCCAAUUCCAGCUUAUUCUCAUGGCAUCCCGGGCGAGGAGAACCACACAUACCCGUUGAAUCACUGCCAGGCGAGGAGAACCACACAUACCUGCAGUUAUGAUUCGCUUGCCAUCUCUUUUACCACAAUUUCCACCGCUCCAUGUGCGGCCACAUCACUAGGGAUUCCGGAAUCCAUUUCAUAACUCAAGGGUUGGUUUCAAACCCUAUAGCAUUGACCUAUCUAGGUCCAACGUCCUUUUCACCCUAGGUCCAACUGACUCUAGGUUCAACGUCUCUAUCACAUAACCUAGGUUUACUUAACUCUAGGUUCAAUCCAUAACCUAUGUCCUUUAACACUAGGUUAGAUGCCACUCAUGAUUCAUCCUAGGUUCAACAACACUAGGUUCAUUGUCAUUCAUGUCCAACCUAUGUUUUAUACACUAGGUUAGAUGCCACUCGAUCUAGUUCACAUGACUCUAGAUUCAUUCACAACCUAUGUUCUUUAACACUAGGUUAGGUGCCACUCGAUCUAUUUGACAUCCUAUUGUCAUCUCGAGUCUACAUGUACACGAAUCUUAUCCAACAUGCUCAUUAUACACAUAUGUAUUAAUAUGCAUUCACUUACUAGCAUGGUUUCUUAUCAUAUUAACAUGCACAUUACAUUUAGCAUUUCUAGACUAUGUCAUCAACAUGCAUUUCAUUCUAUGCAUUAUAUUUACAUGCAUCCUUCUAGUUUACAUGCAUAUAUAUAAUCUUUUAUAUGCAUCUACUUUAGCAUUUACAUCAUAUCAUGCAUUACUAGCAUUACAUUAUUAUCAUGCAUUACUAGCAUUAUGUAACUUGCUCACUAUGCAUUUCUACUUAGCAUUCACAUUAACAUGCAUUGUUUAACACUUAUAUGCAUCAACACGAAUUCUUAAUAUUCUUAGACAUAAGGGCGACCUAGUCGCUUCGGUAAGCACAACCCACCUUAACUUACUCUCCGAUUGCUUGUAGUCACUUGCAAUCGGCCGCCCGCGACACCCGCGACCCGGUUUGGCUCGAACUCUCGCGCGACCACCCAAACGAUCUCCGAUUUGCGAUCCGGAAAUUAAAGGUCUUCGGUUAUGUGCCACGGUGCUUCAAAUCCGUUUUCAUGAUUUUACGACAUCGCCUCGGCCCUCCAGGCGGAAACGAAGCCUAAACGUCCGUUUCUUUAAUAACUUUGUAACGGCUCGUCGGAUUGCCGAUCCGUCUUCGCCAACGCGUUUCGUUACCUAGCAAUUAGGUUUAUAUAUGUUCAAUUUAGAUCAAACCCAUCUAUUAGCAAAAAUUGUAUUUUGGAGCCCUAGGUUGCAACUAUGCAAGAAAUCAUCAAAUCCCUUCACGAAUUAAGCAUCAAUCAUCUAGAUAGCAUGCUAGGAUUCCUCUAAAUCCAUUUCUAAGCUAUUUAAACCAACCAUUAAGGAUCUACCAUUAAAGGGUAGCAAAAGCUUACCUCAAAAUUAGCUCCAAAUCAUGGAGAAGAUGAAGAAGACGAAGGCGAUCCACCUCCAAGCUUCAAUCUCCACCAAAUCCAUCCAUUUUGGGAGAGAUUUAGAGAGAGAAAUGGAAGUUCUCUCUCUCCCUUCCAUGCAUGCGUGUGUGUGUGUGUGUCGCAUGCGGUUUGGGGCUGCUGCGGCUGAGGAAGGAGAAGAAGAAAAGGGAUUAAAUCCCUUUUUACCAUUUUGCCCCUCAACUAUACACUAUUCACUACGGGCAGCUUGAAAUCUGAUAAAUUUCGUUGGAGCCCUUCCGGAUGUCCGUUUUCGCUCAAAUUUGACAGGCAUGUUCGGUUUCACUUAAUAAGUCCAAAGAAAUUUUAAUAUUUCAGUUUCGACCCCGUUUGGUCACUGAAAACUGUACCGAACUGCAAUCUUUAUCAGAUAGCUUUCGGAUUCGAUUUCUCUCUCUACGGGUGUCAGAAAAAUAUGAAACUUUAAAUCUAGCCUCAUAAAAAUAUUUCUGACAUCUCCGCCAAUUUUCAUAAUUUUCUGACACUGUGCAUUUUCUGCUAAUUUAUCUGCCCCGUUUCUUACAGAAAAUUCUAAAUCUUCUGUUUUCGCUCCGAUUUCAGCACAGGUCAUUCCCAACUUGUAUUUCAGUUAUCUAAAUCCAAUAAAAAUAGUAUCUCAUACUAUUUUAUUUAUUUUCACUUUUAUAUUUAAAAUCCGGUAUGUUACGUUGCACCGCAACCUCACCGGAACCAUUUAAAUAUACACCGUAACUUCAUAGUUUUAGAAGUCUGGUACCUUACACUUAGGAUGAGAGGGUGGAGGAAAAUGAGAGAAAACAAGCCCUAGACCCCUCUUGUAGGUCCAACUAAUACAAUUUUGCCAAAAACCCCUCCAACAAUGCAUUUAGUGCAUUGCCCCUCGCGGGGCACUUUUUUUGUAUAGGGAACCGGUCCUUGGACUUGAGGGUCCGGUCCCCGUAGGUCCAGAAUUCCAGCAUUUUAGGACUUAGCCAAAUUUUCAGCUUUUUCACCGUUUCUUCUCCGUUUUCGCUCGUUUUCGCUCGUUUGACCUCCGAUUCUUUUCAAAUCGAACCGAGACUCUCCAAACAUGUUUUCGAGCGUGUUUUCAUCAUCUCUAUCCCCGCUAAUGCCGGAUUUAGUUCACGGCCCAACAUAGCUUUUCGGGUUCCAUUUUCGUGCCUACGCGCACCGAAACGCCCGAAUGCUUCCAAAUCUCACCGAACUUCACCGGAACCAUUCAAAUGGCUUCCCAACCAAGUGUACACCGUAACUUCAUAAUUUUUGAAGUUCGGUACCUUACAAUAUAAGUUGCAGAACUUAUAGUCAAAUAAUUUUAAACAGGAAUAGUAAGAAAACACCAUCACAACAAUAAAAAAAAUAAUAUACAGAACACACUGGUUGCAAUUAUUCGCAAUUUCCAUCCUAGUUAAUUUACUUUGUAAAAUAUCAGUUAAGCCAAUAGAUAAGUUAAGCUGGCAGAUAGGGUAGACACAAAUCCCAUACAAAUACACAAUUAAGCAAGAUAGUUAAACGUAUUUUGUACAAAAGUCCGAAUAUAAGGAAAGGAAAUAGAAUUUAAUUAGAAAGUAUACCUGCCUAAAUUAAGGAAAUACCUCCAUGUUGACUAAUGAAAACCUGAUUUUGUCAGAAAUUAUAUGUAAAUAAAUGAAAGGUAAUGAAAAGUAUUUGGUAUACAAAAGAAAGAAUAAAUAAAUUAGAACUAAUAGUAAAUUUGCAAUGUCUUUUUCCAAUCCACAUAUGCAGUAGAUGAAACAAUAGUAGCAAAAGAUCAAGUGAAGCAGCAACUUCGAAAAUUGAUUAUAGAAGUAAAAAAAACAUCAUCACAAUAAUCGAAAAGAUAUAAAGUGAAAUAAAAUGAAGAAGCAGCACCUAAGGUUAAAUAGAAGCUAGAGAAAUAUCAGCAAGAACUUGUAGUAAGAAACGAUAUAGAAAAGAAAGGGGAAAAAAAAUGCAAACCUAAACUAAUGGUAAAAUAUACAUCAUUAGGAGUAUAAGCAGUAGUAGUAGAAAUUUGAGCAAAUCGAAAAAGAUAAACAGGUAGUAAAAUUCAAUUUUUACUAUAGGCUCAGACAUGUAAUGAGUAUUAUCAAUAGUCAACAAUAGUAUUUUUCUCAUUUCAGAAGUCAUCGAGAAAAGGUGCCGCGUAUAGUUAUAUGUUCUCAAUAGCUUAUAUAUUUCUUGCUGGGGGUAAUUACUGGUUGCAUUUAUUUAGUAACUGCCAUCCUAGUUGAUACCCAAUCGACAGAGAAAUAGAGUUUUUUUUUGCCGCAAAUAAAAUUUUUACAGAGGCAUAUUAUAAAGGCAGCAAGAAGGGACCGCGGAGAAUGAAUUCGAACCAUUUUCGUAACCAGAGGGGAUGAAUAAGCCGAAAUAAAGCGUCGCUAAUGGGAAGGGUGUGACUGGAAGAAGGGCGCCGACCAUGAAACUCAGCCCAACAUUUCGUCCAGAGAGGGAACAGGAAUCGGAGCGGCAUCUUGGGGGGUGAAUGAAACGAAGCGUCGCUAACGGAAACGGGCGCGACGGGAAAAAGGACUGAUCAUUCUGUCCAGAAAGCGAUCAGGAGUUGGAGCGGGCAUCUAGAGGAGCGAGCGAAGGAGCCGGAGGUGGAAGACGAAGUUAAUUAGAAGCAGGGAAAAUUAAAUGGAAAGCAGAGUAGGGAGGAAAAGAAAUUUGGUUGGGUGGGCCCCACGCACUAAUUAAUUAAUAGAGUAUCUUAAGAUGACAGGUAGGGCCCACAAAAAGAUUAAAUUAAGCUAAUGUUGCCACGUGGACAAAGAGAAUGGGCUUUCAUAAGGGGUAUAGAUUAUUAGCAAGCAGCAAUAAUAUUUUUCUCAUGUUAAAAGUCUUUGAGAAAAAACGUCCUGUAAGACAGGUAGGUCACACAAAAAUAACUGGUUGCAAUUAUUUUGUAAUUGCCAUCCUAGUUAAUUUACUGUGUAAAAUCUUCAUUGACAUUCAACCGUAAUUUUAUUUCAUUUUGUCAUAAUCGCCAAAUAUAUAAGCAAUUACAAAUAUAAACUAUCUCAAUCUUUGCUUCAUCACUUGUCAAACGAAAUCCUUGGUUGCAACGGUUGCAUAACUGCCAUCCAAGUUGCCUUACCAUGUAUAUACUCUUUUCAUAUUAAUCAUCAGAUUAUUCAUUUUGUCAUCAUCGCCAAUGCCAACAAAUAAAAAACUUAAUAUUACGUUCGUAGAAUUUAUUAGAAAGUAUCUGAAAUCAUCAAGUAUUAAAAAAUAAUAAAGCAACAACAAAGUAAAAAGUGAACUGCCUCAAGAUUGAUAAGAGGAACUGGUUAAAUGGAAAUACACAAUAUAUAUAUAUAUAUAUAUAUAUAUAUAUAUAUAUAUAUAUAUAUAUAUAUAUAUAUAUAUAUAACAUCUUUGUUGGUCAGAAGCUACCAACAUUAAUUUAAAAUAUACUAUGCGGUAGGAAAAUUGUAGUAAAAAAAAUAAGAAAAUAAAAACAUUGAAAACAUCAUCAAACCCUUUCUUGGAACUGAAGGAAAUCAAAGGAAAUAGUCAGUCAAGAAAUCCAAUUAUGGCCCACUUAGGUAUUGCGUUUCCAAAGACAUCCAAUUUUUUUUUUUUUUAAAAAAAAACUGAAACUGCUUAUAAUCUUCCCUCCCCCAAUGCAAUUUACAGUGGCACCGCCGCCAGAGAAGCAUGUAAUCACAUGCUUCAUGUUCCAGUAAAAAAAAAGAAGAUUUCUUUAUGUUUAAAAGCUUUAGAAGAUUUAUAUACAAUAGAAGCGACCAAAUUGGCUGUGUGAUAAGUAACUCCGAUUAAGAAGAGGGACCUUUUCGUCUAACAGCCAAAAAUGAAAGUUCAGGCACCAGUUUGCAAAAGUGCUAAGGUUCAGGGUUUGCACUUAUUUUCCAAUGUUCUGCAAUCUGAAGAGAGAGGAAUGAGUUACGAAUCUAGUAAUGGACAUUUCGAAGGGCACUGAGGAGUCUUACAUGACUUUGGUAUAGCAAUUAGCAAUAGUUACUUCUCUGAGUUCUAAUUCAGUUCUCAAUGUAGAAAUCAAUCAAUCAAAAUAGUAAUUACUCUCUUUGCAGAUGCUUGUUCAUGGUAAGUGCUUCCUACAGUGAGAGGCGGGACACCAAUAUGAUCAUUAAAUUUCUGCUAAUUAUCACACUAAACAUGAAGAAAAACUCUGCCAACAUACCUCUUUGUCCUUCUAGCAAAAACAAUUAUGAAGAAUUGAAGAGUUAAUUUCCAUUAAUAUUGAAGAAUCGUAAAGCAUGACUAAACGGAUGGAGAGUAGAAAAAGGACUAAAACUAAAGAUUUUAUCCAAAUAUUAACCCUUCCUCUUAUAAAUCCCAUUUUUCAAUAGUGCUCUCUCUUUAAAAAACAAAUCUUUCAUAAUUGAGCCAAAAAAAUUGCUUAAAACUGAUAUAAAAAAAACUACCAAAUCCUUUUGUAUUGAAAUUAAGAAUUUCACAAAAAUGUGCAUUGAGAUCAAAACCGAUCUCCAUCACCAGAAUUAGCAAAGGAAGGUUUUAGCUUCGACCGAUAGAUUGAUUGGUUGAAAAUUUGUUUGAACUGAAGUAAUGAUAGACUAAUACGAAAAUUUGGUCUUAAUUGAAUGUAUAAUCAGCUUAAAAAGUCAGAUUACUAUGACAACUUGAACACAAUUCAACUUUGACAUCAUCACAUUGGCACCAACCAAUAAAAUUGCAUUGAUACAUAGAUAAAUCAAAAAACUCCUACUAUAUAUAUAUAGCAUGUGGUCUAGGGCCAAUGAUAAAUCAAAAAAUUACCACUUCACAGCAUAAAAAGUUUAGCUUUAGCAAACUGUGGAUGAACAGGAAUAACAGAAAUAUAGCCGAAUUAGCAAAGGAAGGUUUUAGCUUCGACCGAUAGAUUGAUUGGUUGCAAAUUUGUUUGAACUUAAGUAACGAUAGACUAAUACGAUAAUUUGGUCUGAAUUGAAUGUAUAAUCAGCUUUAAAAGUCAGAUUCUAUGACAACUUGAACAGAAUCCAACUUUGACAUCAUCAGAUUGGCACCAACCAAUAAAAUUGCAUUGAUACAUAGAUAAAUCAAAAAGUUCCUACUAAAAAAACCAACAAAUCUACGCAAGUAUCAAACUUUGAUAUUCUAAAAGAGACUAAUACAUAUAUACAAUCUAUUUUGCAAACAAAUCAUAUAUGAAAGUAUUAUUAUUAUUAGCGGCAUAACAAAUCAUAUAUGAAAGCAUUAUGAUUAGCAGCAUUAAGAUGUAAAAAAAAAGAUAAGUGUUGUGACCUCUUCAACAUAUAUGAAAGCAUUAUGAUUAGCAGCAUUAAGAUGUAAAAAAAAAGAUGAGUGUUGCGACCUCUUCAACUAUAGGCCAUUUUUAUAUUUGUGAGGAGCAUCAAAAAAGGGAUCUUUUUUCACCUCCAAAACAUUCGGCUUCGUUAUAAAGAGGAACCACGAUCGUGACGACGCAAUCGGCGAGCAUGGUGAUGACGAACCAGGCGCUCGCGAGCAUGAAGGCGUAGGGGUUAAUCAACAAAUAUUAGAAAUAAUACGUAAUUAUAUCAAAAUUGGUGAUGAAACAAAUUCGCAAACUUGCAUAAUUGGCUAGAAAAUUUAAAAACGAAACUCUUAAGGGUGAUGAGAGAAACUAAAAUGGUAAAUUAUUAAAUAGGGAUAAAUACAAUCCAAAGACACAAAAACUUGCUGAAAGUUGCAAAACCAAUAGAAGUUGGGUUCAUUGCAAGAAUGUUGAGCAAAGUAACAUGUUUGUAGAGUUAUUCAUGACCAAAAUAAAUCAAAUGGGAUUAGUACUUGUCGGGCUAAUCGAAGUGACUGGAAGGCAAAUGUGCCUAUCUAGGACGUAGUUGCUAGCUAUGCUAUGCUUGCCGACCAUUUAAAUGCUCGUCACCUCUGUGCAUGCAUGCAUGCUGGUUCUCUAGAUCAAAUUUUUUUCUACUUAAGUUGUUAGGUUAAUGGAAAGUGACUUUCAUUGCAAUUUCAAACUUGUCAGACACUCACAUGAGAAGAAAUUGCAUCAAGCCAUUGUUCACUGUCAACUAUUUUGAUCACCCACCACCACCCACCCUAUGAAACAAAAUUUAGUAGGAUCCGUUCUGUAGUACAACAGAGGGAGAUAUAAACCAUCAGUUAUCAUUCUAUCCACAUUUUAAAUUAAAAACAGGAUUGAAUGCUAUUUGAUGGCUUAUAUACCUUCACCUGCUCUGGUAGCCAUCAACGAUUGUUUAUCCUGAAAAUAUUUGGCACAUCAUUGUAUUUAUUUUUAAUAUGACAUUUAUUGCUAGCUAUUUCUUAAUUUUUAAGGAAAACUAAACUCCGGAAAAAGUCUAAUCAUAAAACUAACAAAUUGCACUAUAAAAUGUUAUAUACCUAGGACUUAAGAACCCUCAACAUGGCGUAGCCACUCCUGGAAACAAGGACUUCAUAGCAACCAAGAUUAAAUAGAUAACAAAUACGAUACAAAAUGAAACGAAAAUAAAACCAAAAUCACCAAUCGAAGCAAAGCAGUUCUUUAAAAAUACCUAGUAAUAACAAAAAUUUUAAAAAAAAGGAAAAGAGAGGGGGUUUGGGGGAGUGUUUACCUGAUGAUCACACGAUGCCUAAGUACUAGGGUGUUAGAGUGGCAGCGGUAGCGGCAACCAUCAUGAUCGCGGCCAAGACCUUAGGGUUUCAAAGUGUUUAGCUUGCAUACACAGAAUACCAGAGCCACUGAGUGCUGUGGCCAAUAGAGAUCCAAACUAAAAUUGUAAAUUAUUAAACAGGGAUAAAUACAUGGAGGGAAUUGACAUAUGCACAUAUUAGGUAGUUGAAACCAAGGUAAAUGAUGCAAGGCUACACAAAAUCAACAAAAAAAAUGAAGGCGUUAUUUAAUAGGCAGAAAAGAGAAAUGAUACCUUGCAUACACAGAAUACCAGAGCCACUGAAUAGCAAAAGAGGAACAUCAAAAGAGGGAGCCUUUUUCCUUUUCUUACCUCGGAACCGCUCGGCCUCUUGAUUGUAAUCGAGAAGCUUCUGCUUGAUUCGCUUCCCGGAGGUGAAAUCAAAGGCCGUGGAGGUGAAAUCGAAGGCCGCGGAGGGCUCGCUACCAAAUCAGAGAUGGAAAAAAUCAGAAAGAGAGAAAUAGGGUUUUUUUUUUUUUGCAAAUAAAAUUUUUACAGAGGCAUAUUAUAUAGGCAGCAAGAAGGGACCACGGAGGAUGAAUCCGAGCCAUUUUUGUGACCGGAGGGAAUGAAUAAGCCGAAACGAAGCGCCGCUAACAGGAACGGCGCGACAAGAAGAAGGGACGACCAUGAACUCGGCCCAACAUUCCAUCCAGAGAGGGAAUAGGAGUCGGAGCGGCAUCUAGGGGGUGAACGAAAUGAAGCGUCGCCAAAGGGAACGGGUGCGACGGCAAGAAGUUCGGCCAUGAACUCAGCCCAACAGUCCGUCCAAAGAGGGAACAGGAGUCGGAGCGGCACCUAGAGGAGCGAGCGAAGGAGCCGGAGGUGGAAGACGAAAUUAAUUAGAAGCAGGGAAGAUUAAAUGGGAAAAUUUAGUUGGGUGGGCCCCACCCACUAAUUAAAUAACAGAGUGCCUUAAGAUGACAGGUAGGGCCCACAGAAGAUUAGAUUAAGCUAAUGUCGCCACGUGGACAAAAGGAAACGGGGAUUCAUAAGAGUUUAUAUAUAUAUAUAUAUAUAUAUAUAUAUAUAUAUAUAUAUAUAUAUAUAUANUAAGUAACUUUUUUGGACUUCAACCGACCUAGCAGGUUUGAAACUAGGUUGCCGGAUUUUCUGAGUCACUACUAGUUCCUUGAGCUGAGGGGAGUGAUCUCGAGUUGGUGGAAUUCUUGUCUUGGUAGGAUUAGCUAUCGAGGUGGGUUCCAAGUCGCCGAAAACAGCGAAUUUCCUUCUAUGUCUAAAUUGAUAUAUAUAUAUAGAAUUGAGCUCCUAUGCUUUUAAAAGUACCAAGUCAUUGGUGCUUGUAAGUUUUCGGCCAUUGGAUUAAGGGAUGUGCGGUUAUGAUGAUGUGGGCCCCUUAGGGUUGAGUGGGUGGUUGGUUGAAUAGCAUGGUUUUAAGUGCCCAUCGGUACGGGCCGUAUCCACCGUGCCGUACCGUGCCAACAAGAUACCGGCACGAUACAGACCCCGUGCCGAUGACACAGCUCAAAACCCUCUACUCUUUAAAUUAGUAAGUAAUUUUCUCAAUAAAGUUCAAAAGAUGUGAUAAAAAGAUAUAAUAAAUAGUUAGAAUAUUUUGUUGCUAAAGAAAAUAAAUAUUUCAUGCUAUUAUGUGUCGGCACACAAGAGUUUUUUUGAUCGGCAUGCAUUGGCACUGCUUGGCACGCACUAUGCGGUACUGUGCCGGUAGGUUUCUGCUACGGCACUUAAAUCCUUGUUGAAUAGUAUGAUCUAACGGGUGAAAAUGAUCAAAGGCGUAGAUCUAACGGUAAAAAAUUUACAAGCACCAAGUGCUUGGUGCUUUUACAAGCACCAUAGCCGGACUCUCUCUCUCUCUCUCUCUCUCUCUCUCUCUCUCUCUUUCUCGCUAUAUAUAUAUAUAUAUAUAUAAAUAAAAUUAUAUAUGUAAUUAAUUAAUUUUAUUAAUAAAUUGCUUAAUAAAUUAUAUAAAUCGCGUGAUAAGAUCUAAUCCGAUAUAUGUGAUCUAAAUCAUGUAAAAUGACGAUAUACAAAAAAAAAUACAAAAUUUAAAUUUUUAUAAUAAAAUUUUAGAAAUGUGAUGUAUAGUAUUUACCAUACACCCAAUGCAUGAAAAAUAUUUUUCUCACCGUCGUAUCUUACAUUUCUCAACUAUGAAAAAUUAUUGCCUGCACUUGGUAUAUUAGUACAUUGCGCGCACCGAAUUUUCUUUUUAAUAUCAAUAUUAUAAAAUUAAAAUAUAAUCUAAUAUAUGUGAUCUACACCAUAUAAAAACUCUAUGUAUAAAAAAUUACAAAGUUUAGAUUUUUAUAAUAAAAAUUUAAAAACUUUGUGUAUAAGAUUCAUUCAUACAUAUGGUAGAAGAAAUAAUUUCUUUCUACUAUUUUAUUUCUCUUUUAUUUAUUAAUUUAUUUAAAUUAUUUAAAUAGAUUUCUUCAAAUCUUUUCCACAUAAGUUUUAUAAAUAAUUCAAUUACUAAAUAAUUUAAUUACUUAUAAGCUGUUAUGUAAUUUACGUUGCACAAACACCAAUUUUAGUUAUUUUUAUUUAAAUAGAUUUAAUUAUUAAAUUACUUUUAUAUAAUUUUAUUCAAUUAAUAAUUAGAUUAAUAAAAUUAUAUAAAAAUAUAAAAAUAUAAAAUAAAAUUUAGCAUUAAAAUAUUUUUAUAUCCGCAGCAUCGCGCGGGUCUUCCACUAGUGAUGCAAACUGAGAGGUUGCCAAAAGUAAAUUUUCACUUUUGCUUUUGUUUAAAGGUAAAACUAGGUUCAAUUUAUCAAUUCCGAUGAACUUUAAGAAAGGAAGCAAAAAUUUCAGCAAAACAAAAAUUAAAAUCGAAUUGAAGUAAUACUAAGAUGAUGAAAAACCUUCAAUAUAUGAGAUAAUAACAACCAACUGAAAAUACAUAUAAUAGUUCCAAAAGGUAAAUUCGGCUUUAUCGGAUUUAAAGCUUUAGGUUUGGUUGUUUGGCAAAUAUGGUUGGUAAUGGUGGAAGGUUAGAUUAAAAGGGGAUAAUAUGAUGUCAGGAGAUGAGAGAUACAAAAAGUGCACCGUUCACACGAUCGUGGGGGAUCCACGAUCGACAAGGAGGGCGGUACACCACGGCUAGAAUUUCGGCAACGGGGAAAAAGAAGAUGAGAUAGUGACUCGGAAGAAGAGGAGGGAUAGAAGUAGAAGCCGAUCUUGUCACGAGGAAGAAGCGACAACGAUCAAGUUGAGGAAGAAGACGAUCUCGGCGCGAGGAAGAAGAGUCGAUGAUCUCACCGGGAAGUGGAACACCAAGGAUAUAGAUUGAGAGUAGAAUUUUCUAUUCAUCCAAAUAUAUCCCUUAAGGUUUCAAGAACCAUGUAUUUAUAGUGUUGAAAGCUCUCUGAUAAUAAAUUAUUGUCUUUUCGUUUUCAACACAACACGGUCACCCAAGAGUCAUGCAUAGAAAACGAAGCAACUUUGGGAAUUUCAAAGGUCUUUCUUUUAUUUUUUUGGGGAAUUCCAAAGGUCUUUUUGGGAUUGAUUUUUUGUUUAUGGGAUAAAAGGGUUUGGGUUAGCCAAAUCAACUAAAACCAAAUGAUUUAAGUCCGAAUCAAACACGAACCUACAAAAUAAAAGAAAAUUGCAUUUGAAAAUAAAACGAGAUUUAUUUGCUGCAUCAGUUCCCCUCGAGUUGGGGAAAUCUCGACUUCGUCGAGAUGGCAUCCUGAUAUCUCUGGUACAAGUCCUCUUGAAGUUGGCGCAACUCCGCCUCAGAAAUCCAACUGCUAUCGGACAAUGGUCGUCCACGCCAACGCACCAACUAUCGGCGAUAAGUACCACGUCGGCACAUCCAGAAUAUCCUCCACGCCAUCUGAUGGAGUUUCAAUGUCGGAGCGAGAUGUCAAGCCAUCAAUAUCGACAGUAGAGGGGGCCUUUCCAUGGUACUCGUAUAGCUCGCUGACAUUGAAGAUCGGAGACGUCGAUACUUCUGGAGGUAGAUCAAUUAGAUAAGCAUUUUCCCCUAAUUUCUUCAGAAUUUUGAAUGGCCCGUACUUUUUCCUCUUCAACUUGCUAUAGCCUCCAGCUGAGAACCUUUCUUUUCUAAAUAGAUUAAGACAUUAUCUCCAUUAAAAGUCAUACCUCAGCGAUGUUUAUCAGCUGACUCCUUGUACUUGACAGUAGAAUCCCGCAACCUCUGAUGAACUUGUUGUUGCACCUCUUGAAUUUGUUUUAGGUAAUAGUUGGCAUCUGCACUAACUCUACCAGGGUAAGGUAUUGGUGCUCGGUCAAGAAAGUGGGCUAUAGGACAGCCAUAUAAAGCUUCAAAAGGAGAUUUUCCAAUGGUUCGGUUUAUGGAACUGUUAUAAGCAAAUUCAGCUUGAGGUAAAUUAAAUCCCAUUGUGUUGGUUUUUCUCCAACUAAACAUCUUAAGAGAUUACCCAAAGAUCGAUUUACUAUUUCCGUCUGCUCGUCAGUUUGUGGAUGGUAUGGGCUACUGAAAUUCAGUUUGCUUCCUGCCUUCGACAUUAAAGUUCUCCAAAAAUGACUAACAAAUUUUGUAUCUCGAUCAGAGGUAAUUGAUUUAGGAAUGCCAUGUAAACGUACAAUUUCAUUGAAAAAUAAUUUUGCAAUAUGUGAUGCAUCAGAAGUUUUCUUGCAAGGAAUAAAAUGAGCCAUUUUCGUAAAACGAUCAACAAUCACAAAAACUGAAUCAACUUGGCGUGCAGUCUUGGGUAGGCCUAGGACAAAGUCCAUGUUAAUAUCCUCCCAGGGCACAUUGGGAAUGGGCAGGGGAGUAUACAAGCCAGUAUUUUGAGUUUGUCCUUUAAAUGAUUGACAAGUCUUACACCGCUGAACAAACCUUUCAACGUCCUUCCUCAUGUUAGGCCAAUAAUACCUCUCUUGAACUAAUCCCAAAGUUUUGUCUCUCCCGAAAUGUCCUCCUAGCUCGCUAUGCAAGUUCUGAAUCAAGGACUCUCUUAACGAUCCCUGGGGAAUGCACAACUUGGACUUUCUAAAAAGAUACCGGCCGUCCAAACAGUAAUCAGAAGGUGAAUCACUAUCAGGAGAUAGGCACAUUUUUAGGAUAGGACCGAAGUUAGGGUCAUUUUGAUAUUGGUCCUUAACUAUCUCAAAUCCUACUAUCUGUAAGGAAGAAAUGAUAAGCAAAUAGUUUCUACGACUGAGUGCAUCAGCGACUCGAUUAGCAAUGCCUUGUUUAUGCCGCAAGUGAAAAGUGUAUUCUUGCAGGAAUGCAGACGCAUGUCUUUUGUUCGAGUUUUUUUUGAGAAUUUAAAUAUCGCAAUGCUUCAUGAUCCGAAUUAAGAAUAAACUCUCGAUGAAUCAAGUAGGGUCGCCAAUGUUUCAAAGCCUGCACGAUCGCGUAAAAUUCAAGAUCAUAAGUGGAGUAACGUACUCGUGCAUCGUUCAAUUUUUCACUAAAGAAGGCUAUAGGACGUUUCUUUUGAGACAGUACGCCUCCAAUUCCGAUAUGUGAGGCAUCACAAUCAAUCUCAAACACCUUUUCGAAGUCGGGCAAGGCAAGUACUGGAGCCUUUGUAAGUUUGUCCUUAGCCAAUUGAAAACUUUUUUCAGCUUCAGAUGUCCAAGUAAAUUUACCCCCUUUUAGGCAAUCAGUUAUUGGCGCAAUUAAUGAACUGAAAUUUCGAAUGAAACGCCGAUAAAACGACGCAAGUCCGUGGAAACUUCGGAUUUCAGUUAUAGUCUUUGGGGUUGGCCAAUUCUGAAUUGCUUCUAUCUUAACAGGAUCUACCUUAAUUCCCUCGGUGGACACCACAUAGCCUAAGAAGGUAAGGCUAUCGGUCAGAAAUGUACACUUCUUAAGAUUCAGAUGUAAGCUGUUAUCUCUUAAAGUUUGAAGCACUUGUCUUAAAUGAUCCAUAUGAGUUUCAGGACUCGUGCUAUAAAUCAGAAUGUCGUCGAAGUAAACUACGACAAAUUUUCCAAUGAAUGGUCGCAAGACUUGGUUCAUAGAGCGCAUGAAAGUACUAGGGGCAUUGGAUAGCCCAAACGGCAUAACCAACCACUCGUAUAAUCCUUCUUUAGUUUUAAACGCCGUUUUCCAUUCAUCUCCAGGUCGAAUACGGAUUUGAUGAUAUCCGCUCUUAAGGUCAAUCUUAGAGAAUAUCUUCGCACCUCCUAACAUGUCAAGCAUAUCAUCAAUCUCAGGAAUGGGAAACCUAUACUUGAUGGUAAUUUUGUUAACUGCACGACUGUCAAUACACAUUCGCUACGUUCCAUCCUUUUUUGGUGUAAGGAGGGCAGGCACCGCGACAGGGCUCAUACUUUCUCUAAUGUAACCUUUUUGCAGAAGUUCAAAAACCUGCCUAUAUAACUCUUCAUGCUCAGCGGGACUCAUCCUGUAAUGGGCUAGGUGUGGAAGACUAGCACCGGGUACAAAAUCAAUGCAGUGUUGGAUGUCUCUCAUAGGUGGAAGGCCAUCGGGGAGUUCCUCAGGCAUGAUAUCAGAAAAUUCAUUAAGCAAUGGUUGAACAACUUGAGGAACUUCAGUGUUCUUCGAUAUUUCUUUUGCCAAAAGAAUAUAUACCACUGGAGACUUUGCUAGAUCUUUAGAGAAUUGGCUUUUGUUCAAAACCAUCAUUUUCUGCUCAUUAUUGGAGGGUUGCUUUUGGGACUCAAUUGGCUUAGACUUUGGUUUGGGAAAGUAAUUUAGGGGAACCAAUCUAACUUUCUUUUUGUCCUUUUUGACAAUGUAAGUGUUCUCCCUACCAUCAUGUAUAGUGCUACGAUCAAAUUGCCAAGGUCUACCUAACAAUAGGUGACUCACAUCCAUGGGAACAACAUCACACCAAACUUUAUCAGCAUAAGUUUUCCCAAUAGAAAAUUCAACAAGACAUCUUUUAGUUACAGGAAAUUCAUCCCCAUCCUUAAACCAAGCUAUUUUGUAAGUUUGAGCAAGUUUUUCAGUUUUCAGUUUAAGCUUAUCAACUAUUUCUCAAGUGACAAAGUUUUUAGUACUUCCACUAUCAAUGACCAGAGAGCAAAACUUGCCUCCCGUGCUACAAAUGGUUCUGAAAAGGCUACGACGCUUCCAAUCAUCUUGGGUGGACUUAGAGGCUGAUAGGACUCGAUGGAUCAUGAGAUUUGUUUCAGUAGCAUCAGGAGAUUCUUCGGAAAUCUCAUCAACAUCUUCUUGUUCUAAAGUUUCUUCCCCAUUUUCAUUCUCUUCAUGACUUUCUAUUAGAUUGGCUCUAGAAUCAAAUUUUCUCAAAGGGCAAUCAGAGGAUUUAUGUCCAGGUUUGUUACAUUUAUAACAAAUGAUGCCAGAUUCAGCGGGUUUUGCACCUAAAAUUCCUUUGCCCUUGAGGUCUUGAACAAGUCUUGAAGAGGUAAUUAGUUUGAACUUGUUUCCACCACACUAAGGCAUGUCCUUUCAAUUUAAGGGAGACAAAUUUAACUUUUUUGUCAUCAGGUAAUUCUUUCCAUUCAAAAAAUUGUUCUAUUUUGUCUAGCCAAUCCACAAAAUCUUCAGGUUGUAAUUUACCCUCGAACUCACUCACGUCCACUUUAAUGCCCUGAUCCCAUCUAUGUAUAUUUCCUUGAUUUUGAAGAAGAGGAUUUCUUCUAACAGGUACAGUACGAUUGUCAAAAUCAGGGUCACUUUCCGAAUCUUCUCCAACUGCAGUUUGUUGUUGCAUACUUAAUCUUUCCAAUAGUUGUUGAAUGUUAUUCAUUUGAUUUUGCAUGCGUUUCAUGGAAUCUUGUUGUUUCUCAUAUGCUUCUCUCCAAUCACGAGGAUUUUCACUACUGCCAGCCAUUUCCAAAUGCUAACAAGUUGAUCAAAAAGUGAUGCCCUUUUUUUUUUGAAUAUUUUGGCCCAAAGUUGAAUACUAAGAAAAAGUUGUUUAGAUCAAAACAAACGCUGCCACGAAAAGAACUUUCUCUGAUACCAAUUGAUGCAAACCGAGAAGUUGCCAAAAGUGAAUUUUCACAUUUGCUUUUGUUUAAAGGUAAAACUAGGUUCAAUUUGUCAAUUCCGAUGAACUUUAAGCAAGGAAGCAAAAAUUUCAGCAAAACAAAAAUUAAAAUCGAAUUGAAGUAAUACUAAGAUGAUGAUAAACCUUCAAUAUAUGAGAUAAUAACAACCAACUGAAAAUACAUAUACUAGUUCCAAAAGGUAAAUUCGGCUUUAUCGAACUUAAAGCUUUAGGUUUGGUUGUUUGGCAAAUAUGGUUGGUAAUGGUGGAAGGCUAGAUUAAAAGGGGAUAAUAGGAUGUCAGGAGAUGAGAGAUACAAAAAGUGCACCGUUCACACGAUUGCGGGGGAUCCACGAUCGACGAGGAGGGCGGUACACCACAGGUAGAACUUCGGCAACGGGGAAGAAGAAGAUGAGGUAGUGACUCGGAAGAAGAGGAGGGGUAGAAGUAGAAGCCGAUCUUGUCAUGAGGAAGAAGCGACAACGAUCAAGUUGAAGAAAAAGACGAUCUCGGCGCGAGGAAGAAGCGUCGAUGAUCUCACCGGGAAGUAGAACAACAAGGAUAAAGAUUGAGAGUAGAAUUUUCUAUUCAUCCAAAUAUAUCCCUUAAGGCUUCAAGAACCAUGUAUUUAUAGUGUUGAAAGCCCUCUGAUAAUAAAUUAUUGUCUUUUCAUUUUCAACACAACACGGUCACCCAAGAGUCAUGCAUAGAAAACGAAGCAACUUUGGGAAUUUCAAAGGUCUUUCUUUUAUUUUUUUUUUGGGGAAUUCCAAAGGUCUUUUUGGGAUUGUUUUUUUGUUUAUGGGAGAAAAGGGUUUGGGUUAGCCAAAUCAACUAAAACCAAAUGAUUUAAGUCCGAAUCAAACACGAACCUACAAAAUAAAAGAAAACUGCAUUUGAAAAUAAAACGAGAUUUAUUUGCUGCAUCAACUAGUAGAUGCAUUAAUUUGUGGGUGUUAUUUUGUAUUCCUAAGUAUCUUUUAGUAUGUGCUUAACUUGGCAGACUGAUAUGCACAACUAUGGAUUAAUGGAUGUCUUAACAGACUAUCUCAAAGAAGUUUGGGGAUGCUUAUAUGCACUAUUAAAAGAUGUGAGUGGCCAAUGUGGAAAGAACCCCUUUCAUAUUUUGUUUGAGUUCAAAGGGAGAUUCUUCCUUUUCGUGAAGCUUGUUUUGCCUCACUAUUGACGCAAACUCUCUUACUAUGCCUGAACCUCAUUAUUGAGGCUCUACAUGGAACAAGUAUCACAAGGAAAUAUUUAGGGACUUGCAUUAACCUUUAGCAACCAGAAAUGGGAUGCAUUUUCCAUGCAAGGCGCACUUUAUAGAAACCAACUAUCUUGUUGAUAUAUAUAUGGUGUUAUAAUGUUGAAUACAUUCUGACAUCUUUGCCAAGUAAAAGAUUUUCUGUUGCUUAAUAUCUUGAUUGAUAAACAUAGAUUAGAGUGGUUUGUGAAAGAUAGGCUAAAGAGCUUGUCUUCUUGGGUUGUAUUCGUGCAAAUAUAUAAUACAAAAGAUAUGUCUACUAUAGUAAGAAUACCUACUAUAGUAAUAAUAAUACAACUGGGAUUAUAUACUAUAUAAUCCUACUCUAUAUAUGAUUGUAAUAUACAGUUUCUAAUAUAGAGUAUUAAUACUAAAUAUGUCGUAACAUCCCAUCGCAAACUAAGCAUCCAUCAGUUGGAUGCGAAGAUUGCGCCGCAGUGCUGAGAACCGAGAGGGUGAUAAAGGCUUAGUGAAAAUAUCAGCAAGUUGUUUAUUAGAAGAUAUAUGAACCAAUUCCAAAUCGCCAGUAUGGACUUUUUUCCGCAGGAACUGAUAAUCAAGUUCAAUGUGCUUUGUCCGAGCAUGAAGAACAAGAUCGAUCGCAAGGUAAGUGGAACUGAGGUUAUCAUAGUAGAUGCUGAUGGAGCGCCAUAGGAAAACAACAAGGUCACAAAGUAGAACGGAUCCAUACCGUCUCAACAAGCACGUAGGCUACAGUACGGUAUUCCGCUUUAGAACUAGAACGAGAAAUGGUAGGCUACUUAGUGGACCAGGAAAUAUGAUUAGGCCCCAAAAAGAUGCAAUAUCCAGAGGUAGAUCGACAUGUAUCUUGACAACUAGUCCAAUCAGCAUCUGCAAAUGCAAGAAGAAAAGGGUUUACGCAGCAGGAGAUCAGAAUGCUAUAAGUCAACGUCCCACGAAUAUAUAGGAGAAUAUGCUAACGGCUUGCAUUUGUGGGUCACAAGGAGCAUGUAGAAACUGAGCAAUAAAGUUGACGGCAUAUGAUAUAUCGGGCCGUGUGAAGGUGAGAUACUGUAGAGCACCAACAAUCUGACGAUAACGAUAGGGAUUCUCAAGGGGAUGCCCCUCAUGAGAAGAGAGGCGAGAAGUCGGAGAGAGGACUAGAGAUAGGCUUACUAUCAAGAAAACCAUGUUACUGAAGCAGUUGGUGUGUAUACUUGUGCUGAGAUAGACGAAGACUAGAAGUUGACGAUGAACCUCAAUGCCCAAAAAAUAAUGCAGCGGUCCGAGAUCUUUCAUAGCAAAUUCCUAUUGUAAGGUGGCGAUAAGAGCUUCUAGAGGAGAGGAGUUGCCGGUGACAAUAAUAUCAUCACCAUAUAAUAGAAGAACAGGAGUGCCAGAAGAGGAACGACAAGUGAACAUCGAAGGAUCAGCAGUGCUUCCAACAAAACCAAUUUCAUAAAGAAAUGACGUAAAUCGUUGAAACCAAGCCCGAGGUGCCUGUGUGAGACUAUAGAUUGCUUUGCGGAGAAGACAAACAUGAUGAGGAAAAGAGAGAUGCACAAGGCCAAGGUAGUUGUGCCAUAUAAACCUUUUCAGAGAGUGUGCCAUGAAAAAAAAUCAUUCUUGACCUCAAGUUGACGAAGGGACCACCCAGAGGAGAGAGCCAUUGAAAGAACAGUAUGAAUAGUGGUCAACUUGACAACUGGAGAAAAGGUUUCAUCAAAAUCAAUAUCGUAUUGCUGUUUGUAACCUUGAGCCACAAGCCGAGCUCUGAGACGUUCAAAAGAACCAUCCACCUUCUGCUUUACUUUGUAGACCCACUUUAACCGAUGAGAUUAACGAAAGAGGGAGGAACAAGAUCCCAAGUAGCAUUGGUCAGUAAGGCAUCAAAACCCUUAGUUAUGGCAACACGCCAACCAGCAUGCCAACCAAUAUCCUGAAAAGCUUCAUGAAAAGUGUAGGCUCAGUAGGAAGAACAGGACGCGCAGAAGCCAAUAAGGAGGUAGAUUUAGGCAAACCCUUAGUCAUUGACCGGGUGACCAUGGAGUGUUUUGGAAAGUAAAGGCAUCUCAGAAAGUAAAGGUAAAGGCAUUAUAUCCUGAGGGGGAAGGUGGACGACCAGGGGUGGAAGGUGUUGCAUUAGUAGGAGGCCGGAGGGUGUGUCGUCUUGUAUAGACCUAGAGCUCUGGUGGACUAGCGGCAGCGGCAUCAGUCCCAUUGCUAACCUAUGUGGCAUUAGAACUCAAGGUGGGUGGAAAUAUUGAUAAAUUCUCAGAUGGUGAAACAGGUGGAGUGGAAUCAACGUCAGUAGAGGGACGUGUGAAGGAGAAACCAGAGAUUGCAUCAAUAGUGGAAGGACUCUCACCCAGUAAGGGAGGAUUAGAAAGAAAUUUUUGAAACAGUUGAAAGUUGCAAGUAGUUGAAGAAGAAAAUUUGGAAAGGCAAGAAUAUGGAAAAACUGUUUCAACAAAAGUAACAUGCCGAAAAGUAAAAACUUUACCAGUUCUUGGAUAGAGACAACGAAAACUUUUAUGUUUAUAAGAGAGUCCCAAGAAGAGACAAGGAAGGGAUCGAGGAGAGAGCUUGUUAGCUGCAAUGUCCUGUACAUCGGGAUAACACAAACAUCCAAAAACUCUGACAAGUUGCAAGUUAGGAGAAGCACAACCAUACAGAAUUUUGUAUGACGAUCGUCCUUUCAAAACAGUAAGAGAAGGAAUUUGAUUCACAAGAAACAUAGCAGUUUGCAUGGCAUUAGCUCAGAACCGAGGAGGCAGGCAAGCAAGCUUGAAACAGUAGGCUUCUAAUAAUGUUAGAUAAAUGCCUAUGUUUCCUUUCGGCGAGGCCAUUUUGUUGAGUAUGAGGACAAGAGAAGUGGUGAAGAUUUCGUUUUGCGAGCAAAGUGUAGAAACAUGUUUUCAACCAUUGCUUUAAACUCGAGAAAUUUGUCAAAAACCUUAUGUUUAAAUUUUAAAAAAUAAAGCCAAGAAAAUCAAGAGUAAUUAUCGAUGUAUAUAACAUAAUAUUUGUAACCAGAAACUGAGGGAACGGGUGAUUGCCGUACAUUACAAUGAACAAUAUGAAAAAAAAAACAGAUAGAGAUUCAGAAUCAUGAAAUGAAAGUUUAACAUGUUUUCCCAUAUUACAAGCAUUGCAAACAGAGUGUCAAAGUAGAAUUACCAUUAGAAAUAAUUUUAUUGUUUUUAAUAAAUUUAGAAAGAACAAGAAGAUUAGGAUGACCUAAUCGUCUAUGCCAAAUAUCUCUACUAAACCUAGAUGUAACAAGAGCCAGCUGUUGCUUAUUUCCUACAGUUGCAACUUUAGAAGAAAUUGGAUAGAGUGAUGUUCCUAAGUUAGGGCAGCGAAAAAGCUCCCUCUCUAUUUCCUUGUCCUUCACAGAAAAAUCAGAAGAGUCAAAUUCAAAAAGGGACUUAUUGUCAUGACAGAAUUAUCGCACUGAAAGUAGAUUUCUCUUAAUAGAAGGAACAAAAAGAACAAUUUUAAGAGCAAAGGAAUUAGAGGGCGUAUUCAAUUGUGUUUUACCUGUCUGAGUAAUAUCAAGUAAUUUCCAUUACCAACAAGAAUUUUGCAUGCCCAAUAUAAGGUUUAGAAGAUGAGAGGAUACCGAGAUUCGCGGUCAUAUGAUUAGAGGCUCCAGUGUAUGGAUACCACACUUUCUCACCAGGUUCAUGAAAAUUCAUAGUAGCAAAAGUUUGAGGAACAUCAUCGGCAACGAAGGAUAGUUGAAAUAUUGUCUACAUUGGAGAGCAGAAUGGUUGUACUAUGAAAGAUAGGCUAAAGAGCUUGCCCUCUUGGAUUCUAUUCAUGCAAAUAUAUAAUACAAGAGAUAUGUCUACUAUAGUAAGAAUGCCUAGUAAUAAUAAUACAACUGGGAUUGUAUACUAUAUAAUCCUACUCUAUAUAUGAUAGUAAUAUACAAUUUCCUAAUAUAGAGUAUUAAUACUAAAUAUGUCGUAACAGUUUGUUUGAACAAUCUAUUAAAAAUUGGUGGCUUUCUCUUGUGCUUGUUGGCUUAGGCCUCAUCUCGUCAUUAGACUAACCCUUCGCCUAGUCUUUAAACUUUCUUAAAAAUUAGUUGUUGGUUGUUGAAGGAUCGUGAGAGCUAUGUGAUAAUAAACCAAUAUUGGAAGACUUGGGGAAUCAUUUCAGCAAGAAGUUCUGACCCUAAUGUGUGCUUUAUGUCGAUCAUUUCCAUUACUUAUAAUUUCUUCCUCUGUAUUGUUUGUACCAAACAAUUAUGGAGAGCAAAUGCUUUAGAACUACUUUCAUGCAAGUGCUUCCAUAUAGUUACUCAGAAAAGCAGAAGCAACACCGAAAGCUCUGAAUUUACAUUUACUGGAUGAGCGUUGUUGUUCCUCUUAUUUGCAUGCAAGUUCCAACUAACUGAUUUGCAAGAUAUAGCACAUAUAUAUUUUUCUCUUUAUUGUAUUUGCAAUUUCUUGUUCAAAUAGGACUGGUUAACCCUUGAGACAUCCCACUUGAGCUGUGAAUUUACAUCUAUUGGAUGAGCAUUGUCAUACCUGUCAUUUGCAUGCAAGUUCCAACUGACUGAUUUGGAAGAAAAAAUGCAGAUAUAUUUUUCUCUUUAUUGUAUUUGCAAUUUCAUAUUCAAGUUGGGCUGGUUAACCCUUAAUACAUCCCACUUGAGCUAUGAAUUUCCUUUAGAUGAGCUAGUUUGUGAUUUAUCUACUUUUUGAUUUCUUCUUAGACUUCUGUAAGUAGGACAAAAUCUCAAUGGUAAUUCAUGACUAUCUAUCCUUCAUAUGCAGUUUACAACAUUGCCUUUACUAUUCACUUCAGAAGGGCAAAAGAUGCCUUUCUGUUCUUGCUCUUUUCUUUUUGAAAUUUAUGAAUAUCAUGAACUCUGAAUCGUCUUGACGAUCUGGUCCCUGAUUCAUUAUUAGCCUUCUUUUCCGCUUCUUUUCAAACUUUUUAAAAUUUCCUGUGAAUGUUUGUUUUGCCAACCUUGAGCUUUUUGUGCAUAGUGUAAUGCUAAAAAUAACGCAACAAUGUCUACCUGCACAGGUGAGCCAUCACCCAAUGAUUGUUGCGUGCCACUGUGAGGGCAUCGGUUGGAAGUUCUGGGGAGAUAGUAACCUAAAGAGCAAGUUUUGGGGCCGUUCAAUUCAGCUUGACCCUCUAGGCAUCCUGACACUUGAGUUUGAUGAUGGCGAAGUUUUUCAAUGGAGCAAGGUAUUUUUGACCAGCACAUGGGAUUCUCUUCACCCCGAAUUUUUUUUUUUUUUUUUUUGGCAAUGUUUUCAAUAUAUAAACUAGAGUUGUAUGCUAUUUCAGGUGACAACCUCCAUUUACAACCUCAUAUUGGGUAAGCUUUAUUGUGAUCAUUAUGGUACUAUGCGCAUACAAGGAAAUCGUGAAUACUCAUGUAAGCUCAAGUUCAAGGAGCAGUCAAUAAUUGAUCGCAACCCGCAUCAGGUAAUAAACUCUGCAUACUCCUCACAUUAUAUAUAUAUAUUUUUUACUUUACCCAACAGCACUACAAUGCCUAAUUAUCUUUUGUUUUCUCAUUUCUUUCGGUGUAUUUAUUUCUCUCUUUGCUAAGGUUGAUGUUGUUGCAUAUGGAGUAAUAAAAUUUUCCAUUGUUAGUAUAUGUAUCUAGGACUAUUUUUGGCUGUAAUUCCAUAUCUUGCUUUGUUAUGGAUGAAUGUUAUUGUUGCUAGGUUUUUAUGUCACCACAAACAUGAACACCUAGUUGCUUUUCUGAAAUACUGAGCCACACUUCAAUUUGUUACUAAGGGGCUGUUUGCUUGCACGUAGUUGCAACUGCAUUUCAGUUAUAAUUGCAUGAAGAUCCAAAUCCGGCAUUUAUUUUGAUUCAUUUAAAUUUAACUGCAUGAGGAGUCUCAAUUGCAAUAGUUGAAACUAUGUCCAACUUGGCCGCAGUUCCAACUGCAAAACUUGAAGAGAGUUAUUUUAAUCAAAAGAAAGCUAACCUCCCUAAUAAUUUUUUAAAAGGGUUAAUUCCAUACAACUCCCUGUAAAUAUAACGAAUUGCAAAUAUAUCCCUACAGAGUUCAACUUUCUUAUGUUAUCCCUGCAAAAGUCCUAAUGUUUUCAAAUAUGCAUCUGCUAUUAGGAUCCGUGAGAAAAAUUUAGUUAGUCAUAGAUAAAAUACUUAACUUUGGUUAGUCAAUCAGGUAAAUUGACAUUUUUUACCUCUCUUAUAUUAUAUCUUCUUCUCUCAAUCAAAACCGUAGCAAUGGGAAUUCUACUUCUUCAUUCUGUUUCUUCUUCCUCUCUCUUCCUCUUCCUCUUCCUCUUCCUCUUCCUCUUCCUCUCUCUCCUUCAUGCUAGUUUCGAACCCGUAACUAGAAUUUCUCCAUCCCCAUUUAUCCACGACGUGUGUUGUUUCGCCCAUAUCGAACGUGUGUCGCUUUCCUACUCAAUUUUCUCUAUGAUUUUUUUUUUUAUUUUUUUAUUUUGCUCAAAAGAAAAGGUUUAGGAGAAAAUGAGUGAGAGAAGAGGUUGCAAUAAUGGUUGAUUGGGUUGGAUUUUAAAGAGGAAGAAAAUGUCACAAUUUUUUCAGGGGACAUUUUUGCAUGGUUAUAGAAGUUGGGGCUUUUGGAGGAUAUAUUUGUGAUGGCAAAAUUGACAUUUCACUUACCUGCUGUUAAAAAUAAACAGUUCUCUAACAGUAACAAUUUAAAGGGACAAAUAUGAAUAUCACUGGACUUUUGUAGGGCUAAGAGUUAAAAGUUGAACUUUGUAGGGAUAUAUUUGCUAUUCGCUAUGUUUGUAGGGGUCUGUAUGCAAUUAACCCUUUUUAAAAAGUUUUCUUUUUUCCUUACCUACCUAAGAAGUAAUUUCACCACUCCAUAUAUAAAAUGAUAAAAAUUCAUGAAUACACUUCUCAACCGCUUGCAACCAAACAAAAUAUUUAUAGUUGUAGUGUUGUCUACUAUAUCCAUUCAAAUAUUGUAAUUAUAAUUUUUGCAUUUUUGGUUGCAUGCAUCUUCAACUACGCUACAUUUAUAAUUACGUUGAACCAAACGACCCUUUAAUAUAUACACUGUAUUCAGUUUGCGCGCUGCAGCCUUGUCUUGUUAAGGGAAGUUUAUACAGCAAUCUGCUCAUUCAAUUUCACAGCCUUCACUGAUGAGUUACGCAUUAUUGACUUGUUGAGGGCAAUUUAGUGUAUAAGUGAAUCCUGCUUCGUGCUUCAUGUGAGUGGCAUCUUUAAGGAGAGAUCAGAUACAAAGCUUUUAUAAACCUUUACUUUGUGUUAUGAUUCAUAACAUGUGAUGCAUUUGUUCAGUUUCCUCUAAAUUUUUUCUGUCGCUGUAUUUCCCAUUCAUCCUUUACCAUUUUAAGUUUUGGUAGCUUGACGAAGUGACCACUUCCUUUAACGUUUGAGACAGACUGGUAUAUUUACAUGAUUAUAUGCAGGUUCAAGGCGUAGUUCAAGAUCGUAAUGGUAAAACAGUGGCUACACUCUUUGGUAAAUGGGACGAGAGCAUGCAUUAUGUGAAUGGAGAUUGCUUUGGAAAGGGGAAGGGGUCCGAUUCAUUCUCUGAGGCUGGCUUGCUCUGGAAACGCAGUAAACCAUCCAAGUGUCCCACUCGCUACAAUCUUACGCGUUUCGCCAUUACAUUGAAUGAGCUCACUCCUGGAUUAAAGGUGGGAGCCCAUUUUCGUUAUUUCUUAGAAACCAUUCUCCGUAAUUUCACCGGGGCUGUACAAUUAGAAUUACCGAUCAGUUUCUCAAAACAAAGAAUUGCUGAUUAGUUCUAUGCUUGGAACUGUUGAAUCUAUUUUAGGAAAAGCUGCCACCCACGGAUUCAAGACUCCGGCCUGAUCAGAGGUGCCUGGAGAAUGGUGAGUAUGAAAGGGCAAAUGCUGAGAAGUUGAGACUCGAACAGAGACAGAGACAGGUAAAUAUACCUUUGUAGUAGUUUAAUCUACAAAUUUUGAGGUCCUAAUGCAUUUACAAGCAGACGGAUGGAUUGUUUACAUCUGUUGGCUGUUUGAUUACCCAUCUCAAUAAUUUCUCUACACUUUCCUGACCGCUCAUCUGAAUACAAAUGGAUGAUAUACAUAGCCCGUAUGAUACCGAUAGUAUAUAUAGAUCAAAUAUAGAGAGAGAGAGAGAGAGAGAGAGAGAGAGAGAGAGAGAGAGAGAGAGAGAGAAUUGAGCUCCUAUACUUUUAAAAGUACCAAGUCAUUGGUGCUUGUAAAUUUUAGGCCAUUGGAUUAAAGGAUAUGCGGUUAGAAUGAUGUGAGCCCCCUAGGGUGAGAGAGAGAGAGAGAGAGAGAGAGAGAGAGAGAGAGAGAGAAAGAGAGAGAAAGAAUCAAAGACAAAGGCAUAAAUCUAAUGGUAAAAGGUGCUUGGUACUUUUACAAACAUCAUAGCAGAACUCAUAUAUAUAUAUAUAAUAUAUAUAUAUAUAUACAUACAUGUGUGUAUAUAUAGAGUCCGGCUAUAGUGCUUGUGAAAGCACAAAGCACUUGGUACUUGUAAAUUUUUUACCGUUAGAUCUACGCCUUUGAUCAUUUUCACCCGUUAUAUUAUACUAAACCAACCACCCACUCAACCCUAGGGGGUCCACAUCAUCCUAACCGCACAUUCCUUAAUCCAAUAACAAAAAAUCUACAAGCACCAACAAUUUGGUACUUUUAAAAGCAUAGGACCUCAAUUCUCUCUCUCUCUCUAUAUAUAUAUAUAUAUAGAGAGAGAGAGAGAGAGAGUCCAGCUGGGAUACUAUCGAACGUUUGGUGCUAUCAAUUUUUUCGCCAUUAGAUUUAAACCUUUGACUAUUUUCACCCGUUAGAUUAUAUUAUUAAACAAAUAACUCACUCAACCCUAGGAGGCCCACAUCAUCCUAACCGUACAUUUUUUUUUCAUCAAAGAAGCCGAAAACCUAAUAGCAUAAUAGCACCAAUAGCUUGAUACUAUUAAUAGUAUUCCAGCCUAGGUCAUAUAAAUAGAGUUCGGCUAUGAUGUUUGUAAAAGUACCAAGCACUUGGUGCUUGGAAAUUUUUUACCGAAAUCUAUGUCUUUGAUUAUUUUCAAUCGUUAGAUUAUACUAUUCAACCAACCAACCACCCACUCAACCCUAGGAGGCUCACAUCAUCCUAACCGCACAUCCCUUAAUCCAAUGGCCAAAAAUCUACAAGAACCAAUAACUUGGUACUUUUAAAAGCAUAGGAGCUCAAUUCUCUCUCUCUCUCUCUCUCUCUCUCUCUCUCUCUCUAUAUAUAUAUAUAUAUAUAGUUGAGCUAGAAUACUAUCGGUAGCAAACGGGCUAUGUUACCAUCCAUUUGUUUUCAAUGAUCGAGACUCCAAAUUGAUGAUCGACACCAUUGAAUAUGACGCAUACCGCUUGAAGCAUCUAGAAAUCAAAUUUCAUACUUUUUCAAUAUCGUUCUCUUGUCCAUCAAGUGGACACAACAAUGAACUGGUAAAAAUGAAUAUCCUUUAAAAGUGAUGAUAGGAGUUUUGUAAUCAAGAUUAAGAGUCUAGAUCUUGUUUUAAAUAGUUUAAGAAAAUUUUUAAUCAAAAUUCAAUUGAUUUAGAUAUCUUUACACCGUUAAACGAGAAACGUCUCAUAUCGACCGUUAAAAUUAUAAAUUUUGAAACUCUUUAAUCAUUAAGCCAAUGAUGUCGAAAAGACUUGAAAUUUGGUUUCUAGAUACUUCAAGUGGUAUGGAUCAUGUUCAACGGUGCCAAUCGUCGAUUUGGAAGCUCCAUCAUCGAAAACAAAUGGGUGACAACGAAGUCUGUUUGGUACCUUCUAGUUCACCUAUAUAUUAUAGGCUAGGGCUACUAUACUCUUAUGAGUAUAAAGCCCUUCGUAUUCAUAAGUUGUUUUCGAUGAUGAGGCUUCCGAAUCGACGAUCCACUCCGUUAAAUAUGAUCUAAAAUAUUUGAAACUUCUAAAAAAUAAAUUUCGUAAUUUUUCGAAAUCAUAAUAAAAAGUCUAUCAAGCGGGCAUAAAAUGAACGGCCAAAAUCGAACGACGUCCUAAAAAUAGAUGAUCGGAUCCUUCAAUUUAAGAUCGGAGUUAUUGAUUUUUAUCUAGGUAGUGAAUAGAAUUUUUCAAUCAAACAUUCAAUCUAUUCCGAUUCUUUUUUACCAUUAAACUAGCAAGUAUCCCAUAGCGGCCGUUAAAAAUUGUCAAUUUUGUGAGUUUUUGAUCGUAAGGUAAAUGAUAUCGAAAAAUUAUGAAAUUUGAUUUCUAGAAGUUUUAAAUGUUCUAGAUUAUGUUUAACGGUAUGGAUCGUCGAUUUGGAAGCUCUAUCAUCGAAAAUGACUUAUGAGUACGAGAGCGAUCGUACUCAUAAGAGUAUAGCAGUCGGACUCUAAUAUAUAUAUAUAUAUAUAUAUAGAGAGAGAGAGAGAGAGAGAGAGAGAUAAGCACAAUGAAAAAGAAAAAGAAAGGAAAAAAAAAAAACCUUGGUAAAAAAGGAUGGAAAUAACUGCUUUUGUUGCAAAUAUUGCGCGGUCACAUUGUUGCCUUGUUGAUUCUUUGCAUAUCUUAUUCUCUGAGCUUUUCAGGUUUAUGCUAUAUAGAUUGAAUAUCCCUUCCGGCGGACAGAGAUUGAAGCAGUAAUCUGAGUCUACAUUCCUGCUAUAUUUUUCAGUUUACUAUGUUUUUUUUUCUUUUUUCUUUUUUCUUUUUUUUUUUUCAUGUUUGGACCAUUUCAAUGCUUCUAUAAUGCAGCUCGUAGCGACGGAUAAAGCAAAAUUUGAUUGAUCUAUAUAUUAUAUGCAGGCGCGGAAUAUGCAGGAAAGGGGAUGGAAGCCUCGCUGGUUUGCAAAAGAUAAAGGAAGCGACACAUACCGCUACAUUGGCGGUUACUGGGAAGAUCGGGAAAAGGGCCAGUGGGACGGUUGCCCUGACAUAUUCGGCCAAAUUCCCACUGAUCCCUUGUUAACUGACUAGUGGUGGUUUGCAAACUUAGAUCAUCAUGUCUCUAGGUCUUUUCUUUUCUGUCCUUUUUUUUUAUUAGGAUUAUCUAGCUUUACUUGUUUUCUCUCUUUCUCUGAUGCUCGCCAUUUUCGAGCAACCAAAGUGCCUUCUAUGCUUGUAAACAAAGAAGAUAGUAUUUCUCAAAUGUUAUUAUUCUCUUAUACAAAAUAAUAGAAAGAGUUCUCAUUCCAAACGCAGCAUAAUCUACCUAUUCUAUCUUUAUUAUCUAUACAAUAACAUUAAAGGGCGAGCCAUUAACCGUUUUGUGCCUUCUCCUUGAUUUCGGAUGUGGCCCCCCAUCGACUAUUUUCCCCCCUCUCACCCAUCUGACGCGUGGGCCCCGUCUUCUUGAUUUCGGAUGUGACCCCUCGGUACUCUCUCUUCUUCCUGGCGCCUCGGCUCCCCUGUACUUUUCCUGCUGUGCUCUCCUGAUUCUUAUAUUCCCUGUAGGUUCCAUUUAAUUAAAGAGCGAACCCUUAACCAUUUUGGAUGUGGGACCCCCAUCGACCAUUUUUUCUCUCUCUCACCCCUCUGAGGCGUGGGUCCUCUCAGGUGGUGUUUCCUCUCCCUUCUUCUUGGCGGCUUGGCUUCCCCUACUUUUCCUACUGUGCUACUCCGAGGCUUCUCUUCUCUCGCUAUGUUUCUCCUUCUGCUUACUCCUAUGUUUCUCGUACGGUUUGUGCCCUCUUCGGCGCAUUAAUGGCGCCGCUCAGCUGCAGCUUGCCGGGAGAAUGCUCUUUUUUUUUCACCGUACGUCUGUAUUUACCGCAGAUCUGGGCAUUUAAUGCCGUUAUCAAACAGCCGGUUCCUCGGAAAUUGAUCCGUUUUGUGCCGUACGCCCAUAUCUACCUCAGAUCUGGGCAUUUAAUGUUCGCUGCAGGGCCGUCGCUUCCCGGAGAUAGGUGACCCUCGGCGUCGUAUAGCCUCCCAUCACGGCGCGGCGUAGCUGUCGCAACAGCACACUGCGCCGCUCGGCCGCGACGCCCUGCCUCCCCUCUCCUCUCUCUUCUUUUGCUUCGUUUCACACUGGUUUAUAUAUGUGCUCCCUUGGUUGAUAAGUCCCUUGCCUACUUUCUUCCGAACUUGCAAACUAGUUUGCUAUCUUUGUUGUUCUUCUUCGGCUACUUCCUUUUCUCUUCUCAUGUUGUCUGGUAUUUGGAUUUUUAUGUUGCUUGGAUGGUUGGAUGCCUAAUGGUUCCUGUGUUUUUAUGGUUCGUCUGAAAGUUUUUUCUAGGUUUUAAAAUUUUUUUGUGUUCUCUCAGUUUUUCUUAUUCUCUUCUAUUUUUUUGCAGCUUCUUUUCUUCUUUCGGGCUUUUUUUGCAAAUAGCCCCCUUACAAUUUUUUUUUUUAAAUAGUCCUGUCCAAAAUUUAUUUGCAAAAAUGGCCCUGACCCUGCCACGCAAGCGCCAAGUCAGCGCCACGUGGGCGGGGCUGGGGCCAGGUGUUUAAGUUGAACACGGUGAACCAUUCACCGUGUCACCGUGUUCAAAUACGGUGAAUGGUUCACCGUGUCCAAUGUAUUAUACACACCCAGGUUUGGGUGGCUAUAAUACAUAGGACACGGUGAAUGGUUCACCGUAUAAGAUAUGGAUCCCGAGGAUCUAAAAAGUAAUUAACACCUAGAGGGGGGUGAAUAGGUGUAAAAACGGCAAACUCAAAAAUCUCGAUGCAAAUAAAACGAAAUAGCGGAAAAGAAAACAGCACACCGAGAAUUUAACGUGGGAAAACUCCAAAUCGGAGUGAAAAAUCCACGGGACCAAUCACGCAAAGAAAAUCCACUAAGAAAAUAUGAGUACUAGUGAUUUUGACCAAAACACACGACUCAAUUUACCAACUUCCCGUAGAUGAUGAUCUUCGCCGGUCCUCGAUCGAUAAGAAUCCUCCAAUCGAUCUCACUGCAACUCCUUGCAGCGUCAACGCCUCAACUCCUUGAAGCGUCCACCGAAUCCUCGGCUACACGUGAACUCCACACGUCGAAUCUCCUUCCGGAGCUUGUAGAAUUGAAGAUUUGUGGUGAUUAAGCUUUAGAAUCCCAUAAGCUAUGAGGAUCUACCUUUAAUCAAACAUCUACUUGAUUCUCGUAUGAUUUCUUGAGUAAAAACAAAGAAUCAAGUCGAUUGUUGAUUGUUAGAAACUUGUUAUUAGAAUCAAACCAUAAGAACAAGAAUAACUAGUUUCUAGGGUUUAGAAUCAGUAAAAAUUCAAAGCCUUACCUCUUUAGAUGACCCUCAUAGCUUAUUUAUAUGUUUAGAAGACUUAGAAAUAGACUAGAAUUGUAAAAAGUCCUUUUUAAAAACCUGUGUCGUCCCCAGAGACCGGACUUCUCGAGGAGACCGGUCUGUGAGAGACCGGUCUCUCAAGUGAGGAACCGGUCCCUCGCUGCGUGACCAAAAUCACAACGUUCGGGAACCGGUCUCUCAUCUCAGGGAACCGGUUGCAUCAAAACUCACGCAGUGAGGACCUUAGGGGAACCGGUCUCUUGAACUCAGAGACCGGUCCCAGAACACAGAAAAGUUCAGUAAAGUAGUUUUAAAGCCAUCUAAGCCUUCUGAACUUAUUCUAAUUAGGUAUCUUCACCACAAAUGAUCUUUUCUCCAUACCUUAAGUGUCGAGCUUUCCGAAUGAGUCUUUAUUCUUCAAUUUGAAUCUUUUCUUCAAAACUUCUGCGAUCAACUCUUCAAGACUCCAACCAACUUUACGAAAUUCGCCAACCUAUAAAAUUCUUAACACACCGUGUCCAAUACACGAUGAACUGUUCACUGCGUUUAGACACGGUGAACCAUUCAUCGUGUCCUAUUCUAAUACCCCAGCCGUGUCCAAUGUAUACACACCCAAGUCUGGGUGUCUACACUACAUGGACACGGUGAAUAGUUCACUGUGUCCAAUCAGUUUAGACACGGCAAACCAUUCACCGUGUCCUAUACUAAAACCCCAUACAACUCUGGGGUAUUUGUAUUGGACACGGUGAAUGGUUCACCAUGUCCAGACACGGUGAACCAUUCACCAUGUUCUCUUUGAAUACAACCCCCGAGCUGUCUUCCUUUUCCUCCCCGAGCUGUCUUCCUCUUUCUCUCUCUCUCUCUCUCUCUCUCUCUCUGGCCGACGCUGCCCGCCGCGCGCCCUUCGCUGCCGCCGCCCUUUGUUGCCCGAGGUAGCUCCCCACUCCUUAUUAUCCCUCUAGCCCUAGAAGCCCCCACCCCCCACCUCUCUCUCUCUCCUCUCUCUCUUCUCUCUCUCUCUCUUUCUCUGUGCCACCCGGCCGCCGCCGCGCGACGCCGGCCCUCAUCACCCGUCCGAGAACACCCCCCACCCCGCUUGCUCUCUCUAACCGCUCUAGCUCUUCUCUCAUUUCACUGUGGCGCCCCCCCCCCCCACACAGUGGCUUCUCUCUGUGAGAAGCCUCUGUGAGACCCCUUCUCACAGUGGAUUCUCACUGUGAGAAGCCAAUGUGAGUCCCACAGAGGCUUCUCAUAGUGAGAAGCCUUUGUGAGGCCUCUCACAGGCAACCCCCCCCCUCACAGUGGCUUCUCUCUGUGAGACGCCUCUGUGAGUCUCACAGAGGCUUCUCACAGUGAGAAGCCUUUGUGAGGCCUCUCACUGUGCAAACCCCCCUCUCAGAGUCCUCUCACUGAUUGUUCUCGGUGUCUUUGUCACAAGUCAAUCCUUAGCUCUUAAUUGGCAAAGUAGUCGCGCCGACCGUGUUUGUACAAUGGUAAUAGCAUCUCUUACCUUCUCUUUUGUUGUAUGUUAGAAAUGUGGUAUGUCUUGAGUUUAAUAUUUUUGUACAUUUUAUUUUAUUACUUUAGAACUCUAUAUCUGGCGAUUUUGUUCCUUUCGAUAUCCAUUGGGAUGGAAAUUUUGUCGAGAACAAUAAUGUACCACGAUAUAUUGGUGGCGGUAAAGAAUUGGUUGCGGUCCGACGCAAUAUCUCAUUUCGGGAUUUAGAGAUGAAAAUAUACAAUGUUACUAAUUAUGAUCGAGUGGAAGACCGUCUACGCAUCACGGUGAAAUGUCCAAUGGGAGGCGAAUGGGAAUUAGUUAACAUAUCAAAUGACAAUACACUAUCUGGCGAUAUGAGUAUUUUUCCGUUCCAUGGAUGUAUAAAAUUAUUCGUGGAGAAAGAUGUGUUGACGACAAACCACCGUCCAAAUACCGUUUAUCAAAUGGAAAUGCGUCGUAGUCGCAAUGAUCAAAGGAAUUACGUCAAUCGUGAACAAGUUCGUACAUCAAGGUAUAAAGUAAUGAUCUUUAUAAAUCGUUUUCGUGAUUUCUCAAUUAGUUUAGGUGUGCGAAAUUAAUAACUUUGUCUUGUAAGUGUUACAGAGAGUUUGGAGUCCCAUCUCUGCCAGUUAGUGCAGCAUUGCCAUAUGCUAUGAUGGAUCCGUCUCCGUUGGUUGAUCAAAAUGAGUGGUAGGUGAUUGUAUGAUUUAGUUACAUGAAAAAUCAAUGUGAAUAGUUAAUCUUAUAUAUCUUUACAGAUCUACUGUCCCUCCUUAUUCAAGUGAAGAUCCAUCAUCUUAUGUUCAUGAAUGGAUGGAUUGGGAAGUCAGAACCACUAUCCUUCCUUAUCAAAAUGAAGGUCCAUCAUCUAGUGUUCAUGAAUGGCCGACUUGGGAAGUAAGAAGUACUAUCCCUCCUUAUCUAGAUGCAGGUCCAGGACCAUCUAGUGUUCAUGAAUGGCCGACUUGGGAAAUAAGAAAUACUAUCCCUUCUUAUCAAAAUGAAGGUCCAUCAUCUAGUGUUCAUGAAUGGCCGGCUUGGGAAGUAAGAAAUACUAUCCCUCCUUAUCUAGAUGCAGGUCCAGGACCAUCUAGUGUUCAUGAAUGACCGACUUGGGAAAUAAGAAAUACUAUCCCUUCUUAUCAAAAUGAAGGUCCAUCAUCUAGUGUUCAUGAAUGGCCGGCUUGGGAAGUAAGAAAUACUAUCCCUCCUUAUCUAGAUGCAGGUCCAGGACCAUCUAGUGUUCAUGAAUGACCGACUUGGGAAAUAAGAAAUACUAUCCCUUCUUAUCAAAAUGAAGGUCCAUCAUCUAGUGUUCAUGAAUGGCCGGCUUGGGAAGUAAGAAAUACUAUCCCUCCUUAUCAAAAUGAAGGUCCAUCAUCUACUCAUCGUGAAUGGACCAAUCGGGACGUGACUACAACUGAUAAUGAGGACGUAAUUCGAAGUGAUGAGGAGUAUGUUAGUGAAACUGAUGAAGAGGAUCAAGGGCGAAUUGAUGCUGAUUCUAGUGAUGACGAGGAGUCCUUUGUUGCGUGUUCUUUGGAUCCUGAUCAUGACGGUGGCUUGAAUGCCCUCGCAUGCGCCAUUCGAGAUGAAGGUGUUGAAUGGAUUGAAAACUCAAAUGCCAACAACGAAGAUGUACCGGACCCGGUGGAAUUCGUGGAAUUUGAAGAUCAACGACAACGGUUUGUCCUGGGUAAUGAAUUAAUUAAUCAAAGCGUUGUUGAUGCAUAUAGUGAACAAAAUAUUGAUCAGGGUCCUCCAAGUGAUGAAGCAUGGGCUAAUCGGACUUUUUCUGAUAAAUCAUCGCUAGUAAGGGCCUUGGACGCUUGGCACAUUGCACAUAAUGUGCAGCUUAAAGUUGUUAAGUCAAAUACAACUAGAUAUACUGUGCGAUGUGUGGUCGAUUCUUGCCCUUGGAGAUUACAUGCCUCUCAACCGAAAGGUAGUUCAUUUUUUAAAGUAAAGACUUAUAAAGGUCCGCACACUUGUUUGGUUCCAAUUCUAAAUACAAGACAUCGAAACUGCACAUCAUCUUUCAUAUGUCAAUUUAUACUACCUACACUGAAGGCAAGGCUUACAAUGAGUCCGAUGGAAAUUCAAGCUCGAGUUCAGAGCGAGUUACACGUUAGCAUAUCAUAUAGCAAGGCUUGGCGGGCACAGAAUAAAGCACUACAAAUUAUAUACGGUAGUUGGGAGCAAUCAUACUGCGACCUUCCUCGAUACUUCUCUAUGUUGGAAUCAACAAAUCCAGGAACUAUUACAAAGAUUGAGUAUAUUAGUGUGGCGAGCAAUACGAGAAUGUUUUCACGAGCCUUUUGGGCUUUUGGACCGUCGAUUCAUGGUUGGGAGUAUUGCCGGCCAUUACUUAGUAUCGAUGCUACUCAUCUGUAUGGGAAAUACGGAGGCCACGCAUUAAUUGCCACAGGUGUCGAUGCGAAUGGUGGUUUAUUUCCGCUAGCUUUCGCAAUUUGUGAGGGGGAGAAUGGCUCGAGUUGGGAGUGGUUUUUAAGUUGCCUAAGAAGGUAUAUAACAAGAUCUCGAGUUAUUACACUAAUUUCAGAUCGUUUUAAAGGCCUAGCGAACCUCGUUGCACUUGUAUUCCCACCAUCUGAAGGUCAUGCUCAUCGAUGGUGUUUGCGACAUAUGAAGGCCAAUAUGAAUAUUCAUUUCAAAGGAAAACACUUACUUAAAAUUUUUUAUCGAAUUGGGAGUGCUUCAGAAGAACGGCAAUAUUACGCAUUAAAGGAAGAAUUGAAGGCUAUGGAUGAAGAAGCUUGGCGUUGGGUUGACAAUCUUCAUAACGAUAGGACAUACUGGGCUAAAGCUUUUGAUGGUGGUCGACGAUUUGGUAUUAUGACAACUAACCGAUCGGAAAGUUUAAAUGGGGUGUUGAGGGGAGUUCGCGCCUUACCAAUUACAGCUUUUGUGAUGCAACGUUUCAUCGAGUGGUUGAAUUUUUCCUAAAACAUCAGGCGGAGGGCGCUGCAAUGUCUACGCAAUUUGUAUCGACUGUUGAAAACACCAUCAAUAGCCAGAUGAGAAGUGCUAGAGUAUAUACAGUUUGACGAUUCGGAUUUCACGAGUUCGACAUACUUACUGGCGGGGAUGAUGCAUACCAAGUGAUUAUCAAUGGAAGCAGUUCUACAUGUUCAUGUUUGUGUUUGCAACUCACAGGAAUCCCUUGUUCACACAUUUUGUCAUGUUGUAGUUCUUCACACAUGAACAUAGAUUAUUAUGGUUUAUGUUCUCCUUGGUAUACUGUCGUAUCCUAUACGACAUGUAAGGCUUAUGAAUCGCAAUUCCACCCGGUUCCUGAUCGUCGUUAUUGGAUCGCGUCAUAUGAAUCCCCUAUACUGCCACGCGGGAGAAGGAAAAAGGGACGACCCAGAUCUACGCGUAUCCGUAAUAUUAUGGACGAAGCCGCUGGGAAUAGGAGGGGCAAGUGUAGGAUCAAUACCACACUAGCUUUUCUAGGUUUCAUAACAAACAUGGCUUAAUAAUCAAAGUUCUCGCGUCAUAUGAAUCCCCUAUAUAGCUUUUCUAGGUUUCAUAACAAACAUGGCUUAAAAAUCAAAAAACCUAUGUCAAAUCCCUCUUAGGAUCAAUACCAUCAUCCUUAACAAAAGAACAGUGUAUAAAUACCUUGGAUUUUCUUGCUGUUGCAUUUCUUCUCACCUCCACUUCCAUCUUGCUCCAAACCCCUCUAAAUAUGUAGUACACUGGACCUUUACAAAUUGCGAGGUUCGAGUGACUGGAUGUGUUUCGAGCUUUUCCACACUUAGUGGAGGGUCGUAGAAUGUUUUUCGACCUAAAAAGUUCGAAAACCUGAAUUCUUGACGAGUCCUGAGAGUUUUCACUCUCGGGGACCGGUCCCUGAAAGGAGAGACCGGUCCCCCAGUGAGCAGUGUUGCGGCAGCCCUGAGGCAACCGGUCCCUGACGGGCGAGACCGGUCCCCGAGCGCGUCUACGAAGUGAAAGACCGGUCCCGCGCAGGAAGAGACCGGUUCCCGAACGUUGGUUUCUCGGGUUCGCAGCGAGAGACCGGUCCCUGCUGGGGAGAGACCGGUCCCUCUGGGCGAAAACUGCCCAUACCGGGCUGUUGCAAUAUUAGAUUUUUGAGGGACCUAGUUGGAUUUUGUUACAAUAGAGGGUCUAUAUGACCCAUCCACUCUCUCUUCUCCUCAUUUCUCUUCUCUCAACUCUCUCUACACCCUUGAUAGAGAAGAAGAAGAAGAAGGAGAAGGGGAAGAAGGAGGGAAGAAGAAGAAGUUUGAGAGCUACUAGUGGACUUGGAGCAUCUUCCUCACCCUAUCUUCUUCCUUGGUGCUUGGUGCUUGGACUUGGAGCUUGCAAGAGAGAAGAUCUUCACCCUUUGAGCUUGGAUUGAAGCUUCUUAGAGGUUGGUAGCCCUUUCUCUCCAUCUAGACUUUGGAUUUGAGGUUUUCUUGUGUUGGAACCCUAGAAUGAGAUUUUAGGGUUGAUUUUGGGGCUUUUUGAUCUAGGGCUUUUGGAGCUUGAUCACUUGGAUUAGAGCCUUCCUUUGGGUUGGAUUGGAAGGGAUUUAGCUCUCUUUUGGAGCUUAGGAAGAGAUUUUGCACUAGAGGUGAGUUUUGACCCUAUUUUUGAGAUGGUUAAUGUUUGAUCCUAUAGUUGAUCGUAAUGCCCGUGUAUCUCUUCGCUCAAUACUUUUAGGGUAUUUUGAGACUCGUGGACAACUCCGUUCGGCGAAUCGAAGGAGCACGCGACGGUUCGGUGGGUUUGACCUAGCCACACAAUGAGAAAAUCUCAUUGUUGAUGAUUUAAGUGUUAUAAAAUGAAAAAGCAUGCAUAUUCUUAUUAUAUGUAUUUAUUGUGAAUUUUAGAAUGCUUAAAAUGUCUAUGUUGCAUAUAGUAAAAUUUUGGGCCUCUAUGUAGUAGAGAGCAUGCAUGUGUGAUAUAGCAUUCUGGUUGAGAUUUGAAACUAAGAUCCCUAUUAUGAAAAUGAACCUUGCUUUCAUGCAUUUAGCUUAUUUGCCAAUUGUGACAUUAGGGAUUUUUGGAAGCCUAGAGAGGCUGGAGGACUUAGACUAUUUGAGAGAUUGGGCCAAUGUCAUAAAGAGGCAUUGGGCCCGGGCUAAAGUGAACCUUACAAGUAUUGUUUUAAUUGGAAUAUGGAACAUGAAUUGGGCAUGAUUAGUUGUGAUGCUUAGGUGUCAUAAAGAGGCACUAAGCAAGUGUGUGCGUCGGAGCGUCACUUUGAGACUUUAGACUAGAUCCUUGGGAUGCUAGUGACCUUGCCAUGUGAGAGGCAUGAGAGUAGAGUACUUGAGACUUUGACCUUGCUUGUUUGCCAUUUGUGCUCAUUCGCACAUGCUUGUGAGGGUCGCUCCCUACAAGCCGGCACUCCGGAGUUAGCCUACGCGACUUAUGUUCGCUCGUGCGGUAUUGAGAAGCCUACGGGGUCGAGUGGGACAGAUACAUUCCAAGAGUAGGGAUGUCGGGCUACCACAGGCACUUAGGCGGCACAAGCUGGAUUACCCUUGGUAGGUCCUUAAUUGGAAAUGGAAAUCGACACGGUGUUAAGAAUGAAUAAUCACUGCGAGAUAGGCUUAGUAGUUGGGUUACUUGACACGCUCAUGACAUAGCAUUGGGAUAUACAUAUAGUAUACUUACCUGUUUCAUUCAUUAUGUCAUAGUAUACUGGGUUGCAUGAUAGAGCUCAUUCUUUAUGCAUGACAUCUUGGACAGUAGCGUUUACUUGUAGCCAUCGGACGUACUUGUUUAUGAUAGCGUAGAUGUACAUCAUAUUUACAUCAUGCUUACUUGAGACAUAGUAAUAUAGCAUUUCAUAUAUGCUUUCUUUCAGCAGUUAUUGUACUCGCUCUUUAUUGCUUAUUAUUAUUGUCGUUACUUACCCUUUUCUUUUGGGGCCUAGUGGUGCAUUGAGCUGAGGUCAGUAAUUGCCCACUGGGAACUAUAAAUUAUAGUUUUCACGCUCUCUGUUUUGUAUUUUCUUUCAGAGCCUUCCACGCCGGGAGAGGCUAGGGACCGAGGGAAGGGCGUGGCUUCGAGCUAGCUCUUCAGCGAGUAAUGAGUCGCUAGGUGGUCUACCUCUCGAUGUUUUUAUUUUGUGAGAGGUUGAGAGUUGUACCCGUAUAUAUGUAUAGAGACCACCUUUCUUUUGGAUCUUGGUAUUUCUUUUAAGGAGUUAGUAUUGUAUCACCUUAUGCUUUACUUUCUUUGUUUAGUUAUAUUUCUUUUACUCUGGUUUAGAUGAUAGAACUUUUUACUCGCUCUGAUAUCAUUAGUUGUUAUUAUUUUAUUCGUUCUAUUUCUUGCUUUUACUUCCGCUUUAUUGUAGACGCCUUAUAUGUCACAUCUACACGUUGGACUGAAUGUAGAUAACGCCACUUCAUUGGAGUUGCAAGUGCGGGAGAGAUGGCUUUGUUAUGCAGAUGUCCUCCAGGGAAGUCAGAGAAUCCAUGAGGACAAUACGUUUCGCAAAUUGCUCAACGUAGGCCGCGCGCGACUGUUGGACAGCCAAGUACGGCAGAAAAGUGUAUGCUGGAUCAAACUGGUUCCAACAAUACCGCCGUGCGACCGCAGCACUUGGGGUUCAGUGGUCAGUGUGACUAGUUGAGACUAUUGUGUUGUUCUGCAACUAGUCUUCUGCGCUAGCUCGGAGGAUUAGACCCGACUUGGAAUCCGGCAGUUGAAGCCCCUACAUUGGGACCGUAUGAGGUUUGGAUGCGGUAAGUCCGGGUCGGUAGCGUAUGACUCGCUCGUACGCCAAACUAUCGCGGGUGUUACACAAUGUGUUUCAUGAUAUCCGUCCUGCGGAAGUAUAUCCACGACCCGGCUCAUAUUUUGGACGUACGCCUUUGGAGCUGGGGUGAUGCAGCUUUGGAGGAGCAACUUUGCGGAUUUUUGGCUCGGCGAAGCAGUAAAGAGAUAUUGCGGACACCGCUGACCAUUACACCCUACAGCGUGAAGCGUGUUGUAGGAGCAACCACGAUAGCGUUCGCCUGACUAUCGUGGCGACACAUGGUGAUAGCGCAUUGAGGGACCGCCCUAGAUCACCCUCUUUUUUUCAAUGGAGGCUAGUGGGGUACUUGUCAUCUUGUCGAGUUCGUCUGUGGACGAAACUCCCUUUUCAGGAUGGGUCCAGUGAAUGUAGUACAUUGGACCUUGCAAUUGCGAUGUGUUUCGAAGUGACUGGAUGUUGGUUUCGAGCCUUUUCCAUACGUUAAUGUGGUGAAGCGGUUCAUAGCUAUUUUUGACCAAAAGUUCGAAACCUGAAUCUUGACGAGUCCUGAGAGUUUUCACUCUCGUGGACCAGUCCCUGAAGGGAAAGACCGGUCCCCCAGUGAGCAGUGUUGCGGGCAGCCUCGGAGGCUACCCGGUCCCUGGUGGGCGAGACGGUCCCGAGCGCGUCUACGAAGUGAGAGAUCUGUCCGCGCGAGGGUGAGAGAGAUCGGUUCAUACCGAACGUUGGUUCUCGCGGCGUACGUUCGCCCAGUGAGAGACCACGUCCCUGACUGGGGGAUGAGACCGGUUCGGCCUUCUGCGUGCGAAAAAUGCCAGACCUGGGCUAGUUGCAACAUGUGGAUUUUGUGAGCGAUCCCUAAGUUGAUUGUUACAAUAGAGGGGUCUAUAUGAGCAUCACUCUUCUCUUCAUCCCAUUUCUCUCUCUCUAACUCUUCUACACCCUUGAUAGAGAAGAAGAAGAAGGAAGGAAGGGAAAAAGAAGAUAUAGACCCUGGAAGAGGAAUAAAAGUGUGAGGCUAUAGAUUGGUACUUGGGCCAUGCUUCUUCCAAACUAUCUUUUCUUGGUGCUAUUGGUGUCUUGACCUUGAUGUGCAAAGUAGCAAGAUCUUCACCCUUGAGCUUUGGAUUGUAAGUUUUUAGAGAGGUUGGAUCUAAGGCUUUCUCCUCUAGACUCUUGCUUGAGGGCUUUUCUUGUUUUGGCCCUAGAAUGAGAUUUAGCUGUUGAUUUGGGGCUUUUUGAUUGGUAGGCUUUGGUGAGCUUGCAUUCACUUGGAUUAGAGCCUUUCUUUUGGGUUAGGAUUGGAGAGAGAAUUUAGCUCUCUUUUGGAGUUUUAGAAGAGAUUUUGCACUUAGAGGUGAUUUUUCACCUCGGUGUUUUUGAGGAUGAUGGUUAAAUUUGAUCGUAUAGUGAUCGUAAUUAAUGCCGUGUAUCUGCGCUCAAUACUUUUAGGGUAUUUUGAGACUCCGGUGGACAACUGCCGUCGGCGAAUCGAAGCGAGCAACGCGACGCGUUUGAUGGGUUUGACCUAGCAAACACAAUGAGAAAUCUCAUGUUUGAUGAUUUAUAUAUUAUAAAGAUGAAUAAGCUGCAUAUUCUAGUUCAUAAUAUGAUAUUUAGUUGUGAAUUUUUAGAAUGCUUAAAAUGUCUAUGUUGCAUUAAGUAAAAUUUUGGGUCCUAUGUAGUAGAGAGCAUGCAUGUGUGAAUAUUGCAUCUAGGCGUGAUGCAUUUAGACAACUGCAUAGAUCCCCUAUUGAUGAAAUGAACCUUGGCUUUCAUAUGCAUUUAGUCUUAUUGCUCAAUUGUGAUCAUUGGGUUUUUGAACCCUUAUGAGAGGCUGGGAGAUACUUCAGGGAUUAUUUGUAUUGAUGAUUUGGGUCAAUGCUCGAUAAACGGCGAAAGGCGCAUGGUAGCCCCGCCGGCUAACGGAGGCUGAACCUUACGUAGUAUUGUUUUAAUGGAAUAUGGAACAUGAAUUGGGCAUGAUGUGUGUUGAUGCGUACGACGGUGGGUGUCAAAAGAGGCACGUAAGCAAGUGUGAUGCGUUGGAGGUCCUGGACUUUAGAUAGAUCCUGUGGGAUGCUAGGAGCCUUGCCAUGUGAGAGGCAUUGAGAGGUAGAGUACAUUGAGACUUUGGACCUUGCUUGUUUGCCAUUUGUGCUCAUUCGCAGAUGCUUGUGAGGCGCGCUCCCUACAAGCGCACUCCGAUGGUUCGCCUACGCGACUGUAUGUUGCUCGUCGUGCGGGUAUUGAAGAAGCCUACGGGGUUGAGUGGGAACGCACAUUCAAGACGUAGGAUGUCGGGUACCCGGCACUUUAGGCGGCACACGCGGUGGCUCCCUUUGGUAGGUCCUUAAUUGGAAAAUUGGAAAUCGACACAGUGUUAAGAAUUAAUAGUAUAUUCCAAGAUUGACUUACAGUCGGGAUAUCACAAGUUGAAGAUCAGACCUGAGGAUGUGUCGAAGACGGCUUUUAGAACAUGGUAUGGACAUUAUGAGUUUACUGUUAUGCCGUUUGGCCUUACUAAUGCCCCGGCAGUUUUUAUGGAUUUAAUGAACCGUGUUUUCAAGCCUUACUUAGACAGGUUUGUCGUGGUGUUCAUCGACGACAUUUUGGUCUAUUCCCGAAGUGAUGCAGAUCAUGAGGAACACUUGAGACUUGUACUUCAAGUGCUUCGGAAAAAGAAGCUCUAUGCCAAGUUGAAAAAGUGUGAAUUUUGGCUUAGAGAGGUGGCGUUUUUGGGCCAUUUGGUUUCAGGAUCAGGCAUAGCCGUGGACCCGAGGAAAAUAGAAGCUAUCAAGGAUUGGCCAAGGCCGACGAGCGUGACCGAGAUAAGGAGCUUCAUUGGUUUGGCCGGCUACUACCGACGGUUUGUUGAGGGGUUUGCAAAGUUAUCUACUCCCCUCACGAGACUCACGCAUAAAGGCACUAAGUUCAUUUGGAAUGAUGCGUGUGAAAGGAGCUUCCAAGAGUUGAAGCAGAGAUUGACGACCGCCCCGAUCCUUACCUUGCCGACUGCUGGAGCGGGGUAUGUGAUUUAUAGUGAUACUUCCUUUAAUGGAUUGGGCUGUGUUUUAAUGCAGGACGGGAAAGUGAUCGCGUAUGCAUCUCGCCAAUUGAAGGAAUAUGAAAGAAACUAUCCUACCCAUGACUUGGAAUUGGUGGACGUAGUCUUUGCAUUGAAGCUAUGGCGCCAUUAUCUCUACGGUGAGCGAUGCGAAGAAUAUACGGAUCAUAAGAGCUUAAAGUAUUUAUUCACCUAGAAGGAGUUGAACUUGAGGCAGCGCAGAUGAUUGGAGCUACUCAAGGAUUAUGAUUUGACGAUACUUUACCACCCCGGCAAGGCUAACGUGGUGGCUGAUGCGCUAAGUAGGAAAUCGACGGAAAACUUAGCGAUGCUUGUGGUUACUCAACCGCCAUUGAUCGAGCAGAUGAAGCGGUUAGAGUUGGAGGUGGUGGCUCCUGAUACACCUUUGAGACUGAUGACUUUGGUGGUGCAACCUACACUUAUAGAAAGGAUUAAAGAAAAGCAAGCUUCCGACUCGGAGUUGCAAAAGAUUCGAACUAAGAUAGUUGAUGGUUGCACCGGUGACUUCACUUUAGACGGUGAUGGAUUGAUGCAUUUCCGCGGACGACUUUGUGUACCGGCGGACUUGAACAUUAAAGAGGACAUUCUUCAAGAAGCACACCAAGCACCGUAUGCUAUACAUCCGGGAGGCACCAAGAUGUACAAGGACUUGAAGUUGCUGUAUUGGUGGCCCGGGAUGAAGAAGGAUGUUGGUGAGUUUGUUGCCAGAUGCUUAACUUGUCAACAGGUGAAGGCUGAGCACCGAGUUCUUGCGGGAAAGUUGCAGAGCCUACCGAUUCCAGUGUGGAAAUGGAAAAAGAUCACCAUGGACUUCGUGAUGGGACUGCCUCGCUCACAGGCCGGGCAUGACGCUAUUUGGGUGAUCGUGGAUAGGUUGACGAAAUCAGCACAUUUCAUACCUAUCCACACUACUUGGACUGGUGAGAGACUCGCAUAGGUAUACUUGGAUAAGAUUGUGCGAUUACACGGGGUACCUACUUCUAUAGUAUCGGAUUGAGACCCCCGUUUUGUAUCCCAUUUUUGGAGGAGCUUACAGGAUGCUUUGGGUACGCGCUUGGAUUUCAGCACUGCUUUCCACCCCCAGAGCGAUGGGCAGUCAGAGCGUACUAUACAGACCCUCGAGGACAUGCUUCGAGCCUGUGUGAUUGACUUCUAGGGAGGAUGGUCGCAGCAUCUACCGAUGGCAGAGUUUGCUUAUAACAACAGUUAUCAAGCAAGCAUCAAGAUGGCACCGUUCGAGGCACUCUAUGGNNNNNNNNNNNNNNNNNNNNNNNNNNNNNNNNNNNNNNNNNNNNNNNNNNNNNNNNNNNNNNNNNNNNNNNNNNNNNNNNNNNNNNNNNNNNNNNNNNNNGCCAGACAGCCAAUCCGAGAGCUGACCAAAAUCCAAAUUUUUGGGUUUUGGUGCAAGGCUUCGUACCACACUCCUCGGGACACAUGCCAUAGGUCGGAACACAGUCAACGACCUACCAGAAAAUCUGGAAAAGCUCAGAGCACAGCUAAUCACUCGAACCUCGUAAUUUGCAACGGUCCAGUGUGUUCCACAGUUGGAAGCAACGAAAUCCAAACGACGCGAAAUCCGAUACAAAACCAUAAAUUAGAGAGAACUUGAAGUAAUUACCUCUCUACCGCUGAGAUUCAGCUUCUCUGAGGGUUCAGCUGGUAAACGUACAACAAACCGCAGGAAAACACCUCUUUCCUAUGUGCCCAAGACCUCCCUUGAGUGUCCAAACCAGCGAGCAACGAGCGCGGCCCAAAAAAAACUUGAUUUGGCGCUUUUUGUGUAGAGAGAGAAAAAAAAACCCUAGAGAGAGAGAAGAAGAUGAAAGAAGCUUGCUCUGAUCUUCAGCAACCUUCCCUGAGCUCCCAGAGUCGUGCUGGACUCAAAUGGAUGAGAACAAGAGGUGAAAAGUCCAAAAUAACCCUGUUGUCCGGCAGCAGCUGACUCUGCUGCUUGCUGUACCGGUACAGCAUAAUGCCUGUACCGGUACACAAUGCAAAAUUUGCCCAAUGCGCAGAAGCAAUGCACUUUCUGGUCUCCGGUAAUCCGAUCACUCUCUAACUUGUCCAAGAACUUGUCCAAGCCUUUUAGAACAUGUAGGAUAGUUCUACAUUUCAUUCCACACAUUCGAACUCCGCAAUUUGCAAAAGUUCAGUGUAUUACAGGCCGACGCCGCCGCCGCCGCCGCCGCCCUUUGUUGCCCGAGGUAGCUUCAUUCCUCGUUCUCCCUAGCCCUAGAAGCUUCUCUCUCUCUCUUUCUCUCUCUCUCUCCCUCUGUGGCCCACACCGCCGCCGUCGGCGAUGCCGCCGCCGCCUUCACCCGCCUCUGUGAGGCUUCUCACAGUGAGAAGCCCCACCCCACCCCACACCCCACCCNNNNNNNNNNNNNNNNNNNNNNNNNNNNNNNNNNNNNNNNNNNNNNNNNNNNNNNNNNNNNNNNNNNNNNNNNNNNNNNNNNNNNNNNNNNNNNNNNNNNNNNNNNNNNNNNNNNNNNNNNNNNNNNNNNNNNNNNNNNNNNNNNNNNNNNNNNNNNNNNNNNNNNNNNNNNNNNNNNNNNNNNNNNNNNNNNNNNNNNNNNNNNNNNNNNNNNNNNNNNNNNNNNNNNNNNNNNNNNNNNNNNNNNNNNNNNNNNNNNNNNNNNNNNNNNNNNNNNNNNNNNNNNNNNNNNNNNNNNNNNNNNNNNNNNNNNNNNNNNNNNNNNNNNNNNNNNNNNNNNNNNNNNNNNNNNNNNNNNNNNNNNNNNNNNNNNNNNNNNNNNNNNNNNNNNNNNNNNNNNNNNNNNNNNNNNNNNNNNNNNNNNNNNNNNNNNNNNNNNNNNNNNNNNNNNNNNNNNNNNNNNNNNNNNNNNNNNNNNNNNNNNNNNNNNNNNNNNNNNNNNNNNNNNNNNNNNNNNNNNNNNNNNNNNNNNNNNNNNNNNNNNNNNNNNNNNNNNNNNNNNNNNNNNNNNNNNNNNNNNNNNNNNNNNNNNNNNNNNNNNNNNNNNNNNNNNNNNNNNNNNNNNNNNNNNNNNNNNNNNNNNNNNNNNNNNNNNNNNNNNNNNNNNNNNNNNNNNNNNNNNNNNNNNNNNNNNNNNNNNNNNNNNNNNNNNNNNNNNNNNNNNNNNNNNNNNNNNNNNNNNNNNNNNNNNNNNNNNNNNNNNNNNNNNNNNNNNNNNNNNNNNNNNNNNNNNNNNNNNNNNNNNNNNNNNNNNNNNNNNNNNNNNNNNNNNNNNNNNNNNNNNNNNNNNNNNNNNNNNNNNNNNNNNNNNNNNNNNNNNNNNNNNNNNNNNNNNNNNNNNNNNNNNNNNNNNNNNNNNNNNNNNNNNNNNNNNNNNNNNNNNNNNNNNNNNNNNNNNNNNNNNNNNNNNNNNNNNNNNNNNNNNNNNNNNNNNNNNNNNNNNNNNNNNNNNNNNNNNNNNNNNNNNNNNNNNNNNNNNNNNNNNNNNNNNNNNNNNNNNNNNNNNNNNNNNNNNNNNNNNNNNNNNNNNNNNNNNNNNNNNNNNNNNNNNNNNNNNNNNNNNNNNNNNNNNNNNNNNNNNNNNNNNNNNNNNNNNNNNNNNNNNNNNNNNNNNNNNNNNNNNNNNNNNNNNNNNNNNNNNNNNNNNNNNNNNNNNNNNNNNNNNNNNNNNNNNNNNNNNNNNNNNNNNNNNNNNNNNNNNNNNNNNNNNNNNNNNNNNNNNNNNNNNNNNUGGCCAGUAAGAAAUACUAUCCCUCCUUAUCAAAAUGAAGAUCCAUCAUGUACUCAUCGUGAAUGGACCAAUCGGGGAGUGACUACAACUGAUCUAUUGGACGUAAGUAGAAGUGAUGAGGAGUAUAUUAGUGAAACUGAUGAAGACACGGUGAACAGUUCACUGUGUUUAGACACGGUGAACGAAUCACCGUGUCUAAUGCAAUACUACCACCCCGGGCGGGGUGUGAGUAACACAAUGAACAUGGUGAUUGGUUCACCGUGUUUAGACACGGUGAACCAAUCACCGUGUUCAACUUGAAUACCUGGCCCAGACCCUGCCCGCGUGGCGCUGACGUGGCGUUGGCGUGGCAGGGCCAGGGCCAUUUUUGCAAAUAAAUUUUGGACAGGGCUAUUUUUGCAAAUAAAAUUUGUCAGGGGGCUAUUUGUAAAAAAAGCCCUAAUUUUGGGCUUUUGCAAAAGUGGGCCAGCUUUUUUAUUUAUGCAAAUUCAGUCCGAUUUUUCAGCAAACUGACCAAAAUGCCCUUGUACUUUUUUCUCUUUCUUCUUUUUUUUUGUCGUUUUUUUUUCCUUUCUCUUCCCAGAGAGCAGCAGAGGCGGAAACGCCACUCCUGCCCCGGCGACGUCGCCCUCGGCCCGCUCCGGCGAUUGUCGUCGGCGCAACGAGCUCCCUCUCCCUGCUCGACCUAAAUCCUCCGACUCUGCUGAGGCGCGCGCCGUCCUCUUUCUCCACUAAGGACACGGCGACGUUGAGCCGCAGGCUCUUUUCUCCACCAUGCGUCGGAACGCCGAGACGUCGUCGGAGCGGCGAGAUUCACCUCCGACGACGUCGGGGUGGUUGCGAUAGAAUAGAAACGCGCUGGGAAUCGCUCNNNNNNNNNNNNNNNNNNNNNNNNNNNNNNNNNNNNNNNNNNNNNNNNNNNNNNNNNNNNNNNNNNNNNNNNNNNNNNNNNNNNNNNNNNNNNNNNNNNNNNNNNNNNNNNNNNNNNNNNNNNNNNNNNNNNNNNNNNNNNNNNNNNNNNNNNNNNNNNNNNNNNNNNNNNNNNNNNNNNNNNNNNNNNNNNNNNNNNNNNNNNNNNNNNNNNNNNNNNNNNNNNNNNNNNNNNNNNNNNNNNNNNNNNNNNNNNNNNNNNNNNNNNNNNNNNNNNNNNNNNNNNNNNNNNNNNNNNNNNNNNNNNNNNNNNNNNNNNNNNNNNNNNNNNNNNNNNNNNNNNNNNNNNNNNNNNNNNNNNNNNNNNNNNNNNNNNNNNNNNNNNNNNNNNNNNNNNNNNNNNNNNNNNNNNNNNNNNNNNNNNNNNNNNNNNNNNNNNNNNNNNNNNNNNNNNNNNNNNNNNNNNNNNNNNNNNNNNNNNNNNNNNNNNNNNNNNNNNNNNNNNNNNNNNNNNNNNNNNNNNNNNNNNNNNNNNNNNNNNNNNNNNNNNNNNNNNNNNNNNNNNNNNNNNNNNNNNNNNNNNNNNNNNNNNNNNNNNNNNNNNNNNNNNNNNNNNNNNNNNNNNNNNNNNNNNNNNNNNNNNNNNNNNNNNNNNNNNNNNNNNNNNNNNNNNNNNNNNNNNNNNNNNNNNNNNNNNNNNNNNNNNNNNNNNNNNNNNNNNNNNNNNNNNNNNNNNNNNNNNNNNNNNNNNNNNNNNNNNNNNNNNNNNNNNNNNNNNNNNNNNNNNNNNNNNNNNNNNNNNNNNNNNNNNNNNNNNNNNNNNNNNNNNNNNNNNNNNNNNNNNNNNNNNNNNNNNNNNNNNNNNNNNNNNNNNNNNNNNNNNNNNNNNNNNNNNNNNNNNNNNNNNNNNNNNNNNNNNNNNNNNNNNNNNNNNNNNNNNNNNNNNNNNNNNNNNNNNNNNNNNNNNNNNNNNNNNNNNNNNNNNNNNNNNNNNNNNNNNNNNNNNNNNNNNNNNNNNNNNNNNNNNNNNNNNNNNNNNNNNNNNNNNNNNNNNNNNNNNNNNNNNNNNNNNNNNNNNNNNNNNNNNNNNNNNNNNNNNNNNNNNNNNNNNNNNNNNNNNNNNNNNNNNNNNNNNNNNNNNNNNNNNNNNNNNNNNNNNNNNNNNNNNNNNNNNNNNNNNNNNNNNNNNNNNNNNNNNNNNNNNNNNNNNNNNNNNNNNNNNNNNNNNNNNNNNNNNNNNNNNNNNNNNNNNNNNNNNNNNNNNNNNNNNNNNNNNNNNNNNNNNNNNNNNNNNNNNNNNNNNNNNNNNNNNNNNNNNNNNNNNNNNNNNNNNNNNNNNNNNNNNNNNNNNNNNNNNNNNNNNNNNNNNNNNNNNNNNNNNNNNNNNNNNNNNNNNNNNNNNNNNNNNNNNNNNNNNNNNNNNNUUUUUUUUUUUUUUCCUCUUUCUCUUUUUUCUUCUUCCUGCAGGAGAAGUUUCCUUCUUUUUUUUUUUCCUCUUUUUCUUCUUCUUCUUCUUCCUCUUUCUCAUGUACGCCAAGUUCUGCCACCCCGCCACCAACCUCUUUGCCUCCGCCGCACCCGCCUCGCGCGGCUCCGCGGCACCCUGCGCCUACCCCCAACACCGCUCCGCCGCCGCACCGCUCCUUUUUUUCUCUCUUUUUUUUAAAAGGUCAAAGCGGGCGCGGCGGAGUGAGGCGAGGAGGGAGGCGGCGGAGCGAGGACAGGAAGAGGGAGAGGGAGGAGGCGGCGGAGCGGAGCGACAGUAGGUGGAAGAGGAUGCUCGGGUGCCGCGAGAGCACCUGUCCCCGGAGUUCGACUCGUCGCAAUUCUCGUCGCAGGCGUUGUCGUCUGGGUCGGCGACGUCGUGCGCGGAGUCCCUGCACGAGGCCAUUCAAGUGCUGCAGAGCACCUGCGAUCCGGCCCAGUAGAGGGGAAGAAGAAAAAGGAGAAAUGGUGCAAUUUCGCCCAAAAUCGCACCAUUUUGUCUAAUUUUGCACUAUUUCGCCCAAUUUUGCACUAUUUCGCUCAAAAUUGUACAAUUUCUUCUUCUCCAUCUUUUCCUCUUUCUUUUUUUUAACACUAUUACACCAGUUUUUAUACCUUAAAAAAAUAUAUUUUUUAACCACUUGCGCCGCCGCCCCCGCCCGUGUCGCCGCGUUGUGUGCGAUGUUCGCCCCAGCGCUGUCCCCGGCGAGGAACACCCGCCCCGGGUCCCCACGCGCCGCCACCCACGGGCCGUCUCCGCCGCCGCCGGAGCAGGCGAGGGAGGAGGGGACAGAGCCAUCAAUGGUAGAGGCGCAGAGGUCAAGGAGAGCGAGGGUUCGGGGGAGCGCGGCGGGGCGGGGGACGAGGCUUGGGAGGGGGAAGGAGGAGGCGUUGAGGGACUCGAGGCGAGGGAGAAGACGGCGGAGCGGUGUUGGGGCGAGGCGCGGGGUGCUGCGGAGCCGCGCGAGGCGGGUGCGGCGAAGGCCAGAGAGCGCGAGGAUGGGGGUGGCGCCGCACCCACUCCGGCCGAUCCGCCACCGCCGCCGCCUCCUCUCCCCCGCCCCCACCAUCGCCAACACCCUCAUCGCCUCUGCCUCCGCCUCCAGAGCCGGCGGGUGGGUGCUGCUCCUGCAAGAAGAAGAAUAAAAAGAAAAAGAGGAAAAAAAAAAGCUGCGCCUGUAGGAAGAAGAAGAAGAAAAAGAAGAAGAGAAAUAGGGAAAAAAAAAAAACUGCUCUUGCAGGAGGAAGAAGAAGAAGAAGAGAAGAAAGAGGAAAAAAAAAAGUAGUGUAAAAUUUUUCUAAAUGGUGCAACCUGGACCUAAAGAGUGUAAAAUUUAUUUAAAAAAAGUGUAAUUUUUAUAUCAAAUAGUGCAAUUUUCUUUAAAACAGUGUAAAUUUUGUUUAAAACAGUGUAAUUUUAUUUUAAGAGUGCAAUUCUUAUCAUCUUUUUUUUUUCUCCUAUAUUUUUUAAUCUUUUCUAUAGAAAAAAUAAUUUUUAUUUUUAUUUUUAUUAUUCUUAUUUUUUUCUAUAAUUUUUUUUUGUCACCACCUUUUCCUCCCUUACUUUCUAUCACAACCACAGCGACGUCGUCGGAGGUGAUCUCGCUGCCUCUGACGACGUCUCGGCCUUCCGACGCGUAGGGGAGAAGAAGAGCCUGCGUCUCAACGUCGCUGUGCCCUAGUGGAGAAGAGGGUGGCGGCGCGGCCUCAGCAAGGUCGGAGGAUUCGGGUCGAGGCAAGGGAGACGGGCUCGUUGCCGGAGUGGGCGAGGGCGACGUCGCCGGGGCAGGGGGUGGCGUUUCCGCCUUCGCCGCUCUCUGGGAAGAGAAAGGAAAAAAGAACGACAAAAAAAAGGAGAGAGAAAAAGGUACAAGGUCAUUUUGGUUAGUGUGCUGAAAAAUCAGACCGAAUCUGCAAAAACGAAAAAGGUGGACCACUUUUGCAAAAUCCCAAAAUUAGUGGAUUUUUUAUGCAAAUUGGCCAAAUUUUUUUUUUGGCCAAUAUGCAUAAAAAAUUCAGUAAUUUUGAUAUUUUACAAAAAUGAUCACUAUUUUAAAUUUUACAGAUUUAAUUUUAAUUUUUAGAAAACUGGACAAAAUAUUCUUCUUUCUCUCUCUCUCUCAUUCCUUUUUUUCUCAUUCUUUUUUUUCUUUCUGACUCUCAUCGCCUCCUCCACCGCUUCCAUGAUCCUUGGCGACGAUAAGAAGGGCGGCACCAGCUCCUAUUCUUUUGCCUCCACUUCUGCCUUCGUCAUUCCGGCACCGACACCGAUGCCGACGCCGAAGGAGGAGAAUUCGGAGUUAACGCGGGUGAGGACGGAGCGGAUGGCAGUGAUGAGGUCGUGGCUGAGACGAUGCUCGCUGUCGCUUGUGAGGGUAAGGAUGAAGAUGCUCUCGCGCUUCUCUAAGGAGCAAAAAAGGAUGCAGAGGGUAAAAAAAUAAAAAUAAAAAAGAUAAAGAAAAAAAAAAUAUUUUUUUCCUUAAAAGACUAUUAUGUAUCGUUGUUGCUACAAAAAAGACUAAGAACUAGAGAAGAAUAAGAUGAAGUUGCACUAUUAAGAAAAAGUUGCAUUGUUUCAAAAAAAUUGCACUGUUUAGACACGAACGUUGCACUCUUUAAGACGAAAUUUGUACUCUUUGAAAUGAAAGUUAUACUUUUUGAACGAAAGUUACACUAGUUGAACGAAAAUUGCACUCUACAACUGUCAGGCCCCGAGCCCCGCCUAUUUGGCUGAGUUCGGGCGCGUCGACAGACCGCCGAACGGACAGAGUUUCCCCUGUACGUCCUAGGCGUCGCAAUCAAUACAAUGAACAUUACAAGGGUUCCAACCAGGAACAGAUAUCAAUCAUGAUUGCAUAAGGAAAGUAUCACAACAUAACACAUCCUAUGUUAUUACAUGCAUUCACAAUAAUACAUUUACUUUACAUCCAACUCCCAAAUGCAAUUAAGUUAUUACAUCAUUUGCUUAUUACAAAUUGAUACAUUGUAUUCUUUUUAUUUCCCAAAC
This 84827-nucleotide long non-coding RNA is filed under the name Ananas comosus (pineapple). RNAcentral describes it as "long non-coding RNA (ACOM_LNC001006)". The record is from RNAcentral. Lineage: Eukaryota; Viridiplantae; Streptophyta; Magnoliopsida; Poales; Bromeliaceae.